Molecule: long non-coding RNA, 49581 nt
Filed under: Sorghum bicolor (sorghum)
Lineage: Eukaryota; Viridiplantae; Streptophyta; Magnoliopsida; Poales; Poaceae
Description: long non-coding RNA (SBIC_LNC014637)
Source: RNAcentral
CCUAUUUUUUAGAUUACAACUAGAACUAACUAGAACUAGAACUAGAACUAGAUGAACUAGAACUAGAACUAGAUGAACUAGAGGUAGAACUAGAAGAACUAGGGCCUUGUUUAGUUCCAAAAAAUUUUGCAAAAUCGACACUAUAGCACUUUCGUUUGUAUUUGACAAAUAUUGUCCAAUCAUGGACUAACUAGGCUCAAAAGAUUCGUCUCGUCAAUUCCGACCAAACUGUGCAAUUAGUUUUUAUUUUCAUCUAUAUUUAAUACUCCAUGCAUGCGUCUAAAGAUUCGAUGUGAUGGGGAAUCUGAAAAAUUUUGCAAAAUUUUUUGGGAAGUAAACAAGGCCUAGAGGGAUCCUCUCUACUUGGAUGAAGAAUUGAAACACUAGCUUUGAUUGUGUAGAAGAGGUAUGAUCUCCAGGGGCCAGGGGACCUUGCUUAUAUAGUCUUUUCAGAUAAAUCUGGGCCGUCGGAUCAAACCGAUAUUGAUCGCACAGUUUUCCUAGGUCCUUUAGGUCGGUGGAGCAUAAUACGCGAAACGUGUCCUGAUUGGACUCUGGAAGUGGGCGGGCGCCUAGGAGACUAGGGCGGGCGCCCUGUCCCUGAGCCCUCUCGGAUUCCUGUUCGUUCCCGUGGCUUCUGAAGUCUUAUAGAUGAUAGAAAAUUGCUCGGCACGUUAAUAUCUCUAUGUAAACCCGACGUGUGGGCCUUUCCUCCGUAUUUCGUGAUAACCCCCUACAGAAAUAGGCAAACACCAAAACUCGUGGAAUUAUGUCAGAUAAAACCCUAAGUGUAGGUGUUGGUUCCAUUUAGAUCCUUUUCCAUGAUUAGUUGACGGUUAAAUGUGAGCAUUAAGGACCGUCAACAAGCUCCCCCAAGCUUAACCUUUGCUCGUCCCUGGGCAAAGAUGAACUUAAGAGUUUCUACAGUGGUUUCAUGCCUUAGAGAUACACAUGCGUUCAAACAAGAUCUCAUCUCUGGGUUAGGGUAAACUGUUAAGAUUUAAACUUACUCAUUUUACCUUCCACCAUGGGGCUUGGAACCGUCACCUUUGUCUUGAGUAGUUAAAAGAUAGAACGGUCUAGUCAAGCGCCAUGUCUCUUGUUCUUCGAUUAACUAUAGCUCUGGAGUUUUUCCAGAUUUUCAAAUAAAACUCAGAGAUUCCUUGUAUGACUCUCUCUAGUCUCUCUUUUGUGGUAUUUCUGGAUCCUUACCAAGGCAGUAAUGGUGUAUGCCUUCUCUCAAAGUAUGUGGUAUUUUUGGUAUGAGGCAUAGUGGCAUUGCCUUCUCUCUCACCCUACUCUAAUAAGGUUUUUAUAUCUAGAGCUCAUAGGUGGGAGACAGCUAAUACAUACUUACAAGACACUUAUUGCAUAGUCAAACCAUGGAUCCAGAAGAACAAGUCAAUAAGUCAAAUCAAGAUGUGCAUGUGUGGCGAAUGAAUGACGUAUGGUGAUGAUGGUGAUAAUGGUGAAAACAAUGGUGAAGUCUAAUUCUACUUUUGCUCUUUUGAGGGAAUACAUACCUUCCUUGCUCUUUUGAAACUUUUGGGGAGAAUAAGAUGCUCUGUAUUUUCUUUUUUCUUUCCUCUCAGGUGGGUAUCUUGUACCCCUAAUUCUACUGUCGGACACUUGUCCAUUUUUACCUCUCGUCUCAUUUUUUUCUUUUCUUUCGAGGUUCCGGGCACUUGCCCCUUUUUAUUUCCUCGUAUCUCUUUUUUUUCUCUCUUUCUUUUUUUAGAGCACUCAUCUCUUGAAAUAAUGUAGCAAGUGGUAGUAACCAAGAUAACUUGAGCAUUUAUUUCACAGGGGAAAACAGAAAUGUUUUUGGCUAUUCUCUCUCGGAUUAGGAGUAGAAUAUUUUUUGGGUGGUUCUCGAGAUGGAAAUGGGUGGAUAUAUGUGGAUGCGUACUUCUGGAGUAGAAGCAGCAUGUAUGAGUGAAUCGUGCAAGUGAAUCUUGAUUUAACCACAUGACAAGCUCCUAAGGGUCUACACAGUUUGACCACACUCAAUGCUCAAAAGUAAAUGUGUGGCUCUAAGUCUAGGAAGCAUGUAUAUAUGGCUGUGGUAGAAAUUUAAACUCUCAUCAUAUAGGAACUCAUCAUGUGAUAUUUUAAAGAUUUUCAAAGAUAAAAUUCUCCAGAAUUCUAGCAUCUCUAGGAACAGAUAAACAACAGCUCAAUCUUCCCAUAUCGUAUCCGUUAACGACGACUUUAGAUCAAGUACUCUCCCCACAAGUUUAGGUUUAGAGCAAAUCUUAAUUAAUACCAGUCAUGCCUAAACUUGAGAGAGAUUUCAAUUUUGAGAACUAGGUACAUGGCAGAGCAACUAUUUAUCAUAUCCAUGUAAGAGUUUAUCAUCUAUAUUCAGUUUGGCCUAGACACUUUAUUUAUUUAUUUAGCAAACUAAGCAAAGAUAUAUAUAUAAGCACAAAAUUUUUAUUUGGGUUUUCAUGAUUAUGCAUCUUUUUAUUAUUUGAGUAAAGUAUAAUCAUGAGUAGAAACACUUAGCUGGAUAAAUGGGGGUGCUCUCCCCCAAGCUGGAUUUUGAUGUAAUUUCUUCUGAUGUAGCUAGCAGGUGACGGAGGUGUAUUUGAAUGUCGGCAGCACCCUAACAGCAAUUAGAAUGUCCUCCGUCUGCUAAUCUUCUUUGAUCCUUGAAUUCUGUGGAGCUCAAAUAGACAACAAAACUUUGUAGAACUAGUUAAGUGUUAGCAUAAAUAUUUAGCCUUUAUCAUGUGGAGCCUCCUCAAUAAAUGUUACACUCUUUAGUAGGAUCAUAAAUUUAUUUUUAUAAUUUUAUUUUUAUAGGACAGGAAUAUAUUUAUUUUAUUUUUACGCCACCACAGUGAAUGUACUUAUGGGUUUUAUGCCAUGAGCAUACUCACAUGGGGCUUACUAUUUUUAACAUUUUUAUUUUAUUUUCAAGAUGAUAUGAACCUGAUUAACUAAGCAAACUAUUUUAAAUAAUUGAAAAGAAAAAAGAUAACUACCAAGUUUACCUCUUGGCAAGGCGUUCGGUGUUUUUAAGUCCUCCGAACGGGACUCUCCGUUUUCUCUAUUGUCAUGGGAUUCGCUGGAUGGUGUAGUCGGUGGUUCCGGCGGCGCCUCUUCUUCGUGUAUAGUUAUCUUCUCUCUCCACACCUGACUCGGUGCUACGGUCUCCUCAGAACAGUUCUGUUCAAGCUAUAUGUCUUCAGACCUUACAACUUCUCCUUCAUAGUCUACCCAUCUGUCCUUGAUGAUUUUGCCUUCUCUGGUUGCGGUUGCGUCGUCUCCUUCUUGUCCUGACCUGCUUAGAGUCUUCAAUUAUAUAGUUAGGGUCAGUAAAAUAGCGGCGUACCUUCUUAGAGGGGAAAUGCAUGUGGACUCCGCCGGUUCCAAUGUAGAUGAUUGCUUUAACGGUGCUGAGGAACAGUCUCCCAAUGGUGAUGAGUGGAUUGUACUCGUCUUCUCCCGUGUCAAUAACCUUAAAAUCAUCUGGAGUUGAAGGUAUGUCGGUUUUAGGGGCAUGGUUCCGAAUAGGAGCUGAUAGGUGACUGGGUCGUCCUUUUUAGUCAGAAAUGGUGACUUAAGGGGGUGUUUGGGACUGCUCCGCUCUAAGUUUUUCAGCUCUGCUCCAUGUUUUUUAGCCAAACGGUUUCAGCUCUACGCACUCAGUUCGAGAAAAAAGGGUGGAGUUGUGAGAGCACCUAAAGAGGUACUCCACAAACUCUAAUUUUUUGUGGAGCUGCUCUAUGGUAGAGUUUAUAGAGCAGAGUUUGUGGAGCAGUCCCAAACACCCCCUAAGUCGACGAUCUUGUCCUCCUUGAACUGCAGUAACCAUCUUAGUUGUUUCGGUCCACAUUUGCUUGUUUAUGUUCCUCGUAUUGGUCCUCUUCCUUGGUUCAUGUCGAGAUUGCUCUGAGAUUUGUGUAGUCUUGUUCUUGAAGGAAAACGUCUCCUUCCUCCCCUCGAUGUAGAAACUGAUCUUGGCAGCAGUAGCGUAGAUGGCAGCUCCCGAGGUGUUCAGGAAUGGCCUCCUUAGGAUGAUGGAUGCCCUCUCAUCAGUACCAGUCUCUAUCACCACGAAGUGUGCUGGGGCGUACAAGGUACCAACUCGGACGCAGAGGUUCUUCAAUACUCCCUUUGGGAAACUUAGUGUACGAUCUGCAAGUUGCAAACACAUGGUUGUUUCUAGUAAAGGAUGUGUAAAGAAUUUUUCAUAUAGUACCCUGGGCAUAAUGUUGACGCUGGAGCCAAAGUCACAGAGUGCUUCUGAGAAGUCCACCAAGCCGAUGGAGAUCGGGAUGACGGGGCGUCUUGGAUCGCCUCUCUUGACCGGCAUAAGGUCAGUAAUUACUUCCACAACGGGGUUACUCCAGUGUGUGUACUCGUUGAUCUAGGUUCUUCACUUGGUGGAGUCUGGGAGUUGUAAAACUCCUUUAUAUUUUGCUCGAAGUGUACCUGCUCAUAAAGACAAGGCAGAGAUCAAGUGCAUGGGCCCUGUUGGUGGAAAACACCAACAGAACCAAAAGUGUAUUUGUUCUUCUCUAACCUUAAGCAUAGUGAGCAAGACAAAGUUGAUGGAUAAUAAGAUCAUGAGUAUAGCAUUUAAAACAUUUGUCAGAUCAGAAAGCUCAACCUAAUGGAAAGAUAAUCUAUCUAUAUUUAUGUUGUUUUUUAUAUAUCUUCCAAAGAUUGAGUGUGCAACAUUUUAGUUCAUAUGAUUAGGAGUGUGGGAUCACAAAGGUGGAAGGACUAAACAUAUUGAAUCGACUGGGUUGGUUAAUCUAGAGUUAUAAAUAAUACAUGUUUGUCUCUUUCAUUCAUGUGAACGCCAGAACCAAGGAGAAGCUUAUAAAAGUGAUAGUCAAGUACCUUAAAAUGUUACCUUACUUGGAGAGUGAUGGUACAGUAUCACCUUGUGGAAGCUCUCCUUUCUUAGCGGUUGUGAAUCGUGUUUGUGGCACCCUCCAUGGAUCAUCUCUUGUGAGCUAUGCCUUCCUUGUGUAAUUUGUUAACCUUCAUGUGUCUCUCUCUUUGUCUCCAACGUGAGUUUAUCUCAGGACUUCCCAGGUUGAUAUUGAAAGUUUUCCUGCAGGGUUAGUCCAACAAAAUAUCCAAUAUCUACUAUAGCAUACUAUCGGCUCAAAAAUCAACCUAGACACCAUGUCUAAUUUGAUUUAGGAGGGCAUUUUAACCUAAGCACCAUGCUUAAUUUAAAAUCCCUUGAAAGUAAGAUCAUCAUUCCUAAACUAAGCACCAUGCUUAAUUAAGAGAUAAAUGAAACUACUCUAAACUUAGACAUAUACUAAAGCAAAUAAAGGUAGCAUGAGAGCAUUUAUAGAGUACUCAAGUGGAGAUGAAGUAGUGUGAUUAGUAUUUAACAAAUUGAGCAUGUCUCAAAGGUAGGGAUAACCAACAUAGCAACAUGGCAAAGGGUGUUUUUAUGUAAAGUACUCCCCCAAGGUUGAAUUUUGCAAAAUUCAAGUUUGGAUGAAUUUAAUUCAAUGUUGUAUGAUGAUUGGUUGGACAUACCUUGUGCUUGUCAUUCAUCCGAUCUUCUUGCUCCAAUCCUGGAAAGGUUAGUGACAAGAAUACCCGAAGGAAUAUUUUUACAAUUAUCCUUAUAUGCUCAACACACAAGGUAAUGUUGCAAAUAAUUAAAAGCUCAUGUUACAAUCUGAUCAGUGCUUGUUUUAGGACACUAAGCUUGUCCUUGGGAAACCAUCAAUUUAUGUCGGCGAAGUGGUUUCCCCUCCAACGCUGACCUAUAUCAAGAUCAACUCAACGAGAUCUGCAAUAUUUAAUAUAGACAUAUGCAUCGACAACCGCCCUUUUAAAGUUUUUACAAAUAGAAAGGAUGAGGGGGUUGGAGAUCUCGAAUGUGGUGAUGUUGGAAAAACCAAUGGAUUGGGAAGAUGUUGCAUAUGAGCAUGGAGUAAAUGAAGUGACUAUGAAAUAAAUUCCAUGCUCAUUAAUGCUUAGAGUGAAAUUCAUGUGGUAUGGUGAAAAUGAUAAGGUGAGUGUGGUAAAAAAGGAAAAGAAAAAGGAUACACGGACGACUUGGUUCAAAACUAGCACAGGUACUGUUCCCCGGCAACGGCGCCAGAAAGCUUGUUGGGUCUUUUAAACGCAAACAGAAAACUCCACAAGCACACGGAUACCGAUGUAGCUUUCACCUAGGAGUAUUCCAGAGUAUCGAUUUUCCACAGGGAACGUGAGUGUACUAAUUAAGAUUCAAGAUCGCCCAAGGAUAACUAAUUAUUUUCGGUGGGACGAGAGGAAGUUUCCUGAGAGUUCUCUAGUUGAUCUAAGAAUCAAGAAUUACUUCAAAGAUUAUUUAUUUCGGGACAUCAGAACACUAACCACAGAAAGAGAUGAGAAGGGGGCUAGGAAGCUCUGACUACGGUCCAACAAACACCGAUCCGAACGAGGUGGAAUACGUCGAUCGUUAGGGCUGUCACUUCCCUAGGGCUACCACAACAAUCCGCAGGAUUGGGUGCAGUUCCAGGUAAUUGCAAGACUAAACACCACGUCUAAUCUAUUAAUUACUACUCUAAUGUUUCAAAGAUUAGAGCACUUGAUGCAAGCGGGAAUCCAAUAAAUAACUUGAAUGUAAAUAAAAGUAAUUAAAGAACUCAGGAAUUGUGAAUUGAAGAACCUGGAGAACGAUGUAGAACGAACCAGUUGCUGCAAAAGUACAAUGUUGAGGAAGAUCCGACAGAUCUGGCUCCUCCUCCGCUCUCCUCUUCUCUCUUCCUAUUUUCUAGAUUACAACUAGAACUACAACUAGAGGAACUGGAACUAGAACUAGAACUAGAACUAGAUGAACUAGAGGUAGAACUAGAAGAACUAGAGGGAUCCUCUCUACUUGGAUGAAGAAUUGAAACCCUAGCUUUGAUUCUGUAGAAGAGGUAUGAUCUCCAGGGGCCAGGGGACCUUGCUUAUAUGGUCUUUUCAGAUAAAUCUGGGCCGUCAGAUCAAACCGACAUUGAUCGCACAGUUUUCUUUGAUCCUUUAGGUCGGUGGAGCAUAAUACGCGAAACGUGUCCUGAUUGGACUCUGGAAGUGGGUGGGCGCCCAGGAGACUAGGGCGGGCACCCUGUCCUUGAGCCCUCUCGGCUUCCUGUUCGUUCUCGUGGCUUCUGGAGUCUUCUAGAUGAUAGAAAAUUGCGCGACACGUUAAUAUCUCUAUGUAAACCCGACGUGUGGGCCUUUCCUCCGUAUUUCCUGAUAACCCCCUGCAGAAAUAGACAAACACCAAAACUCGUGGAAUUCUGUCAGAUAAAACCCUAAGUCUAGGUGUUGGUUCCAUUUAGAUCCUUUUCCAUGAUUAGUUGAUGUUUAAAUGUGAGCAUUAAGGACCGUCAACACGCGCCUCUUUGGUGUCUGCUUUAACGUCGCCACCGCUAUGCAGGAUAUGGACCUCCUCCGUGCCUUCCUCCGCUUCGCUGACUCCUGCCGAGGCACCGACGCUGCGCACGUGGCUAUUUAGGUCAGUCAUCUCCGGGACGUCGUCUUCGAGCUCGAGGAUGUCGCCGACGAGUGGUCGUACCUCUCCGGCAAGGGCCUGGCCCGAGACUGCAUCAAUGUCAAGGCCUGGUUUGCCCUCUCGAGGCGGCUGCGUAAGGCCCGGGAGAGGCUCUGCCGGUUGUCCGCGGAUAAGGAGUAGUAUGGCAUCUGCUUGUCCAACGGCGGCGCCGGGCCCUUCGAUACCUGUAUUCGUCGGCCGCGGCUGGCAGACAGGGCACACUUUUUGGAGGAGGAGGAGGUGAUCAGCUUCUCGGUGCAUGAGAAGGAGCCGAUGGAGCUGCUGGUCAAGGACGCAGAGCCACGGCGUGCCCUGGUCGCCGUGUACGAGAUGCUUGGCGUCGGCAAAACCACCCUCGUCACGCGCGUGUACAAGCAGCUCGUGACGAUGAGGAGGCACUUCGACUGCUCCGCGUGGGUUGUCGUCUCGCAACACUCCACGACGGAAGAUCUCCUCCAGAAGAUGCUCAAGGAGCUGCACCGCGACGCCCGCUGGAACGAAGCCGGCGCAGGCUACCCAUCACUCGUGGGCCACAUUUCGCACCUUUAGGCCUUGUUCGUUUCUACUGGAUCAAUCUGUUUUUAGGCCCAUUCCAGGUGGAUUACUGCAGUCCGUUUUUAGUCUAGAUGGGAACUGAAAUAUGUAUUCGUUUUGGGCUGGCCUAGAAUGAAAACUGGCCCGAAACAAAAACUGGCUUCUUUUUUUCUAGUCUCCACGACCCGGAAUGAAACCGGACCUUCUACUAUUCGGAUCGGUUCUUGGCCCAAGUGGAGGAAUGAGUAGAGGAACUGGAUCUAAGGGCGAGAAUGGUUCCUGUGGAGGCAAACAACUGUAUUUGGGUCAGAAUUCAAUGUUUCAUCUUAGUACCUCGCUUCAGGCUUUUAACCGUGCUGAACCUCUGGUUGAAUGGGACUAAGAAGUUACCAUGCUCACUGACCAAUCUUCACAAUCUGCAGUAUCUCGGCAUCCGUUCCACUCUCAUUGAAGAGCUUCCAAAGGAAUUGGGCAACCUGCAGAAGCUGCAAACCUUGGAUGCCAAGCUGUCCAUGGUUCAGAGGCUGCCAAGCAGAAUUGCAAAACUGAGGAGCUUGCGCCAUGUUGGAGAUAAAAGCAAUUUAGCGAUGCAUAAAUUAAUUCUGACAACAAGAAAAAGACUAACAACAUGUAUCACAGAUCUAGCGCUACAAUUUGAGUCAAAUUAACGGGAUGUAGUGCUAGCAAUAGAAACGAUAUGAGACCAAACAACACAGAGAGGAUAGACAUCUUUACAGCGGGGUUGUCGGCGCAAAGGAAGAAGAGGAAGAAGAUGAAGACUGUCGACGGAAAUCGGCGAACACUAGGCGUAGAGGGAAGAAGAUGUCCAGCGAGCAGUCGCGACGGUGCUUUCCAAAAACCUAAUACGCCCUCUACCCCGUGCAGGGACGCGAGGAGACGUAGGCUUCAGAGCCUGCUCUCCCGACACAGAUGGCACGUCGGCGACGGGAUGGGGAAGACAGCGGCAGCGCAACAGUGUGGCGAGGAAGAGAUGAAACUCUCGGUACAAAGAACGGCGUCUCGCCCCAUAGUAUGGAAACUUUACCUGCCGUUUACGCACUUGCCAUAAUACAAGAAUAAUUUCUUACCAAAUAGGCCAGCGCAAUCUCCUCCAUGCAUGCAAAACUUCCAAGUAGCAAAAGGAAGCCGAGCAUCCGCAAGGGUCGAAGUGGGAAAUCGCGGGACCAUUCACGCGCAUGUCGUGCAUGCGCGCUCAUUGGCCUGGCCCGGCGAGGCGAGCGCGCGCGUGUGGUUGUUCCUUUUCCUCUCCCCAAUUGCUUCAACAAAAUAGAGAUAGCUCAACCUUUUAAGUUGGCCUCAGUCCACUUGAAAUAGCAAGGUAAAACUAAAGUCCCCCACCUUUCCGCAAUCAGUACCAGAAUAAUAUAACAUUCGUACCUUCCGCAUCGCCAAUCCCAUAUCUGAUGAAAUAAUAUAACAAUAGUUUAUAAUAUAUAUAUAUAUAUAUAUAUAUAUAUAUAUAUGACAAACAGUACGAGAAUAGUCUUAUUAUGCUAUAGUAGAAAUUGUUUAAGUAAAUAUCACCGCAAGACCAUGAAUGGAAAAAAGAGUUCCGCCGUCAUAACACAAAUGUACUAAAUCCAGGAGAAGUGGAGAACAAUAUUUUUCAGAUCUAGGGAAAACGAUGAAUGGUAUCUAUAACUCUUAGGCCAGUCUCAGUGGGGGUUUCACCAGGAUGUCAUACACAUUUAUUAGAGCGCCAUGUCAGCAAAACUGCACUUUUUGCAUGAAACGAAGAGGAGAGAGAAGGAAGUAGUUUCACCAUGGUGAAACUCCGCUGGCGUUGUUUCCCACGCGGUGAAACAUGAUGAAAUCCCCACUGAGGACUAAAUCGUUUCACCAUCUUGCAUAUGAUCUAAUCAUUUUGCAUUGUGGAGGUUGUUUCAUUGUUCGUUUCAUUGAUGCUUUGCUCAGCCUAGGAAACAUCAAGGUGAAACUCAUGCAUUGUGGAGGUUGUUUUAUUGUUCGUUUCAUUGAUGCUCUAUCAGCAGAUUUGUUUUGGAAACAGUGCAUUGAAACGGGCCAUUGAGACUGGCCUUAUAAAGUUAAACCCCACUAGAUGAAUUCUCUCUUAAUGCAAGGUGUCCACAUCAUUUCCCACUAAGUGCCCACUAAAUAUUUUAUCUCUUCAUGCAAGAUGUCCACAUCAUUCCCCACUAAGUUCAUGUCAUUCCAUAUUAAUUAUAAAAAAUAACCAUGUCAUCUAUAUCAUGUGAAAUACUUUAAAUCUUUAAUAUAUUCACAUACAAGUCAUGUACAUACAUUAUUUUUUUCAUCACCAAUUAAGUCCUCUAUAAUGUAACCAAAUAUUAGUUUUUGUUUUAUUAGCUUAGCAAUAUUUUACUAGAUCUAAUACAAUAAAAUACAUGCAAGUCAAAUUCAUAUGUGUACAUACAUAAUAGACUAAAUACUAUAUAGUAAUGCUAUGUAUAUAAUGAUUUAUUUUUAAGAAAAUCCUACAGCAAUGCGCGGGAAAUUCACCUAGUUAUAAUAUUAAUGGAAACAUGAAACGAUGGAUAAAAGAAAAAAUAAAAUAUGCAGAAAAACAUAAAUAUAGAAUGACUGAACAAAUAACAUAAAUAGAAAAAAUAAAAAAUUGAAUAAAGCAUAGUGGAAAACAAAAGAAAAUAAAAUCACGUAAUAGAGGAAAAUACAGGAAAAAUAAAAAAUAAAAUCACAUAGAUACUAUUUGAACAACAUAUAAUGCACUAUUGAACAUCACACGAGUACUAUAUAAAUAAUAAAAAUAAUUAUGACAUAUCCCACUUGUAUUACAAGGAAAUCAUAUAUAGAACAUGAUUUUUGAAAAAUAUAAACCAUGGUAAUACAAAUAAUUAGAGUAAAAUCACAAAUAAAAAAUAAUUAAUCACAAAAUAAGAAAUAUAGAAAAUAAAAGGGAAAGAUAAACGAAAGAGAAACAGAAGAAAAGAAAGAAAACAAAAAGAACAAAAAAUGGAAAAAAGUGAAAUAAGUAAAAUAAUUAAUUUACAAAAAAGAAAUAAAGAAAAUGGAAAAAAUAAAACAUCAAGGAGAACAGAAAGAGGAAAAAAGAAAUUAAAAAAAGAGGAAAAACUCAUCAUGGUUCCACGAUCUUCGCUAGUAUUGAGGCGACCUGCAGUGGUGUCAAGCAUGCUCGCACAUCCGGACCAACGAUGACAACUGCUAUUUCUUCUUCUUCGACUAAUAAGUCUAGUAUCGAUAAAUUACAAGACUAACUCAUAAAUAUAUAAAUUUGGAUAACAUCUCCAUUUCAUGUUUAAAUGGACAACAUAAUUUACGUAAACAUGUAUAGUUGGCUCCGGAGCAUGAUAACAAAUGUUGACGUCAAUGUAUUGGUCCUCUUGUUGUGCAGUUCUAAAAAGUCGACUUAUAAUCAGUUAAUCUUUCAUAGAAUUUUCAGGUCAACAUUAAACGAGAGAUUUGGGGUGUGAGAAUGAAAAAUUACAUAACUAAAAUUUGGCAAUUGGCAUCAAGUGUCUGCAGUUUGCUAUCAGUUUUUCGAUGAAAAACUAAAUUAUAAAAAAACCCAAGUCUCAACUGUGACGGUUGAGUGGAAUAUAAAAGAGAGACAUCCUAGGGUUGAAAGGCGUCUAGGGAAGGUGCCCACAACUUGGGCUUAAGCCCCAACUCGAUACAUGGCCAAGUUGGCCCAAAAUAGGUGACGCAACACUUUGUCGUGGUCACACGGAUUAAUCCACGGGUCAUCUGGAGCUAGGAGCAAAUCCAAAAUGAUGGCAUCAUCAUCCCCUUUCAAACGAGUCCAAGAUGUCCUUGUUUCGAUGUCGUAUGAAGAAGUUAUGAUCGAAACAUUAUCGACGUGUCUGCUGAAUCCGAGUGUGACAUGGAAGCUGAGUUGGAGAAGAAUUACAACUUGGAAAAGACGAUGGUGUAGGCGUGUCCAGCGUGGCGAUUUCUUCAUCAUCCUCCCCUUCGUGAAUUGUAGUCGUCCACGACUCCAUCUUGGUGAUGUCCUCGUCAGGAGCUUUUGGGGCUAGAGAGGUGCCUUGGCUGAAGCUUUGGUCGAGUGAAUGAGUUCCCCCAACGGUUAGAAGUGAGGGAAGAGUUAUUUAUACAAGUACUCAUAGAUGAGCUACCAGUAUUAUCGAUGGGUAAUAUUCGUCUACUAGUCCCUAAGUUUCUAACCGUUGAAGCCAAUUAUAGUCAUAAAAGUGUUUCACUAGAAAAGUCCUACUAGUACUACCGAUAUUCCACCGGUACCACCGGUGCAUACCGGUACCUCCAAUAGUUCAAAUCUAUGCCAAACUUGGGUUGGCAACAGCGUUGUGUCUAAGCCUACUGGUACCACCAGUGGAGGAUCACCAAUCCUACCAGUGUACCAAGGCAAGAAAAGACUUUGCCUACCGGUACCACCGAUGAAGGCCACCGGUACUACUGGUGCACCCAGCCAAGAAAGGGCUUUUCGAAGUGCCCGUCAAGUGCUAGAGUGUCUCUCUUAUGGUUUAAUUAUUAUGAUUGAGCACUCUGUCUUCCUCGUACCAACUAAACUUGCAUCCCUUUAUAGUGCGGCAUAUCCCAAACUCAAGGUUGAAAGAAUAUAACCAUUUUAACCACUGGAGCCUUUAGAGCCUUCAUAUGCCACUUUUUCUUAGUAUCACUUUAUAAGGGGAUGCAAUUACUUUGUCUCCUAUCAUUGAGUAAAUAUAGCUUGAGCAUCUGACUUGAAUCAUUUCAACAUAUGUGAGUUCAAUCCAUGCCUUCAAGUCACUUCCAUUCAUGAUUUAAUUCUCAACACAAUAUGACUCCUCAUAGCUUGAUUAGUACCUCAAUUCAAUGGAAGUACUCUCUUCUUCACCUUAGGCAAGGUAACUCGGUCUACAAGCCAUGGCUUGCCCUUCAUCUUCGCUUAGUCCCUCGAAGUCCUUUCCUUGCUAUCCUCACCCUAUCGGGCUAGACUCAAGUCACAUCAUAUUAAACAUCCAUCAGAGAACCAUUUCAUGAAUGUUGUGAUCCUUGCUUGAAUAUCUUCUUGAUAUGAGUCUUGAUAUCAAUCAAGCUUUAGUUUAUAAUAAUACACAACUUUGGCCUUCAUUUGAAUAUUAUGUGAAAUACCAUAAAGUGUGCUUUCUUGUUGAACUUUGAUACACUUGUUAGACCUUUAAUUAUGUUGUCAUUCAAUUCACCAAAACCAACUAAAGGUCUAGAUGCACUUUCAACCUUCCACCGAUCAAUUGCAGCUCUAUUAUUAUGUUAACUUAAGUGUGAUGUCCAAUUAUUUCAUAUUGCCCGUGCCCAGGUAAUCUUUUGAAUGGUCUUUGGCUUGUAUUAUUAGGCAUUAUUACGAUAGUUAACAUAUGUAAGUGAAAGGAGUUCAGUUGAGGAAAGCUAAUUUGCUGAGAAACACAUCACAUAUUUCUAAUAAUAGUUUGCAAACUAAUAGAAAUGUAUUUGUUAUAUGGUACUAUUAUGUUUCAAAUAUGUUCUGUGAGCUAUAGUUUUUCUUAUUACCUAGAACUAAGCAUUCUGAUUUGUGUUUUCUCUGGAUUUCUUGCACGUUGACAUUCAGUGGUAACGUCAAAAGAGCACAAGAUGAGGUACAUUUAAGAGCUUGAGCAUAAUAUUGGGUUUCUCUGUAAUGCAUAAGAUCAUACUAGAGAAGGUAGGUCAUGACAUUGCUAUUGUGCAUGACAUUGGUGAAGGUAGAUCAUGUCCGCCAUGCAGAACACAAAUUGUUGGUGUGUUGUAUGUCCAAUGCACUUAUGUGAUUGCGAAAACUACACUUCACCUGCCAAUACUUUGUACUAGCUUAAAUGCCUAAUUCAUCAACAAAGCCCACCUUUAGUAAAUUACUCAAAUAUUAAAAAUUCUUUGUUUAACAGUUGUUUUGGGUGAUUUUAUGCCAUCCUAAGGUAUACCCAAGGCAGAAAAAAUCCGACGUGAAUUGAUACGGCGUUGCCGCCGUGGGGUACACAGGGUUGAACGGAGGAGUAGGUGAGAUUGAGAAUUGGAACGCAGAGUGUAUCGGGGAAACUUAGAGGAGGGUUCAUUGCCGGUGGCCACGGCUGAAGCGCCUGUGGACACCAUCGAAGGGAAACCCGCCCGCUCUUGGGAGGUUCUAUUUCCUUCGAGUGGUUGUAUAUUAGAAUAUCAUCAAAAAAAACCAAGACAAAGCAGCGGAUGAAUGAUUUGAGCACAUCGUUCAUGAGAGCAUGAAAUAUCAUCGGCGCAUUGGUGACGCCAAAAGGCAUGACGAGGAACUUGAAAUGCCCACGGUGGGUCUGAAAGGAUGUCUUGGCGACGUCAUCCAGAUGCAUGCGCACCUGGUGGUACCCGCUGCAUAAGUCAAUCUUGGUGAAGAAGUGGGCACCGUUUAGCUCGUCGAGUAGCUCGUCGACCACCGGAAUCAGAAACUUGUCCUUCACGGUGGCAUCGUUGAGGGCGCGAUAGUCCACGUAGAAGCGCUAACUGUCAUCGUGCUUGUGGACAAAGAGCACCGGGGAGGAAAAUGCUGAGGUCGACUCCCUGAUGAUCCCUUGGCUGAGCAUGUCCUCGCACUACUGCUCGAUUUCAUCCUUGAGGAGCUGCGGGUACCGGUACAGGCACACCGCCACCGGUGGAGUGCUUGGCAAGAGGUGGAUCCUGUGGUCAUGGCGCCGUGGUGGUGGCAGACCACGGGGCACCUAAAAAAUGUCGUGGUACGACUGCAGCAGCUCCUCCAGCACCGCACGGGGGUCCGCAAUGGUGUGGGCGGCCACACCCUAGUUGUUCAUGCCGGUCGAGUGAUGAGAACGGCCGUUGUACCAGAAGAACAUUGCUAGGGCGCCGAAACCCCAGACGAUGGGCCCCAGCUCUGGAGCCACUGGACGCCAAAGACCAGAUUGAAGCCGCCCAAGUCGAGUGCGAAGCAGUCGAUGGAGAAGGCCUCGCCGCCAAUGGUGACUGGAGUAGCAAGGCAGACACCCGAGCUGCGGACCCGGUCGCCAUUGGCCACCAUGACGCUGAGGCCGGUGUGUGGCGUGACGGUGAGACCCAGGCGCUGCGCAACCACAGAGUGCACGAAUGUGUGGGUGGAGCCCGUGUCCACCAACGCCCGAAGCUAGACACCGCCCACUGUGACCUGCAAUAGCAAAGAAUCCACAGAGUUGAGGCUGGUUAGCACGGAGAGGGAGAUCUCCAAGUCGUUGAUCUCUCUGAGUGGGUCCUCCUCGCCCUCCGCCAGGUCCAUGAGGAAGACACCGCCCUUGGAGGCGCACUUAUGAACUUUGCUACAAGGCUCAGGGCAAAAGUAGCAAUGCCCAUUCCGCCUUUUCUCCUCCAUCUCGGCCACCGAGAGAUGGCAAAAGCGAGGAUGGGGGCCCUCUAUCUUGUUGUGUGAUGCAGGGGCACUGGACACACCAGUGCUGGCCGACACGGUGACACGGCGGGUUGAUGGUUUAGGUGCAGCAGAGCUAUUGACCAUCGAAGCCUCCGCAUGGCGCUGCUCUUAUGCCCGUGCGAGACUCAUGGCCUUCUGAAGAUUGGUGGGGUACUGCAUCUCGACAUUGUGGGCCAGUGGCUAGCCAACCCACCCGUGUACAGGUCGAUCACCGUCCAUGGUGUGAGGCUAUCGCAACAUGCGAGUAGGGCGAGGAACCGCCACGAGUAGUCCUCCACUGAGCCUGUGCGGACCAAGGCCUUGAUCUCGGCAAUGGAGUUGGUGUGGAUCAGCGGCCCGAAGCAAAGGUUGACGAAGUCAACGAAGUGCGGCCACGACACCAUGCCGAAGUCACGCUCCAUCUGGGUACCAUUCAGUAGUGGUGCCGUCGAGGUGCAGGGACGCCAUCCACACCUUCUCAUCCUCUGGAACACAGUGUCCACGGAAGAAACUAUCGCACUUGUUGAGCCAAGUCAGAGGAUCAGACUCGCCGUUGAAGGUGGGAAAGGGGAUUUUGGGCGGCCUGUGCUGCUCUCGGUGGUGAUCGAUGAAUCCACCUCCACCACGGUCGUAGUCGUGGCCACCUCGUCCAUAGCCACGGUCGCCACGACCAGCGUAGCCGAAGUCGCGGUCAUCGCGUCCACCGCGCGAGUCGUAGCCGCGUCCGCUCCAAUCGUAGCAGUCUCGGUCGUCGUGGUAGUCGCAAUACUAUAGGGGGCCUGAUCCCGUGAGUCAGCCCCACGGGCGAAGCGACCCCACUCGCGAAGUGCCCGCUCGCGGUACUCGUUCCACGCACGAUCGCGCUCGAGAUCGUAUGCGUCGGCGUCCGUGUCCUGACGGUGUGUGUCGUCUCCGCCAUCCUGAUCCUCUGCUACACCAACGCCUUUACUAGAAUCAGGCUUGUCGGUCUCAAUGCGAGACAUUCGCUAGUCGUGGGAGUUGAGGCGGUUGGUGAUGGUGGUGAGCUGGGCGAACAUGCAAUCAAAUUUCGCAUCUAGCCGCGCCUCCAUGGCUGCAGGAUCGACAGGAGUGCCGGACAUGGUUGUCGAUGCACCCAGAUGGGUCUCCGAUACCAAAUUGAUACGGCGUUGCCGCCAUGGGGUACGUAGGGGAGAACGGAUGAGUAGAUGAGAUUGAGAAUUGGAACACAGAGUGUAUCGGGGAAACUGAGCGGAGGGUUCGUCGCCGGUGGCCACGGCUGAAGCGCCUGUGGACCUCGUCGAAGGGAAACCCGCCCGCUCUUGGGAGGUUCUAUUUCCUUCGAUACGGAUUACAUCCUUUCUAAGCCACCUUUAUAGGUUAGGUGCUUUCCCUAACAAACCAAAACAGAGAUCCUAAAAUCCCUCCCAACUUAUUGACUUCUAAAACUAACUAGAGGCACCUUAGCCACUAUUGGCUGCGGCACACCUGCCCCUGCGCCGGUACUGCCGGCCUACAAAGGAGUCCACAACAUGGACACACAGCUCUAGGUGAAAUGUGUGAAGUUCUUGGUGGGGGGCCAAUUGGUGGGUCAUAUUUUUUUUAUGUUAAACGUCAGAUCAAUGUAGAAACUUCGCUGCACCAAAAGACUAACUAUUUAUCUAUAUAAUAAUUCUUUUUUACAGCUGAUGAGAUUAAAGAGCUGUCGGAAGAAUAUGAAAACAAUUAAUUCUUCUAUUGAAGCAAAUCUUGUAAAAGAUUUUGACAAAGUAAGAAUGCAGUUGUUUUUGUAAUGUUCUUUCAGUGUUAUUAUUUGUCUCUCUUUCCAGUUUCUGAUUUUAAUUUUCAUGACUGCUAGCUGUAGCUAUGUAUACGUUUGCUUUUACUUAUCAAAUUCAUUAGAUUUACCAACCUUGGCAGAUUAUGAACUUCUAGAACAAGUUCAUCACAAGUACUUGGCCCAAGGUUGUUCUGAAUUGAAUCGGUGAUUAUGAGUUGCUUGCAUACUUGUAUGUCCUGAUAAGCUCACAUAAGACUUCUUGUAUGAUGUGACGAGUACAGUCUAAAUUUUGGAAGAAAGAAAUUUGCCUUUUUGGUUUGUUAUAGUUAGAAAAUGAUAUUUGUGCAUAGCUACUAAAUAGUAAUGGAAACUUUCUAUGAACUAACUAUCGUUCAACAAUCAACACUACUACACUAUUUUUUACAUGGAGGGAAAAAAAAUUAUCCGAGGCGGUUUUUGCAACCACCUUGGAGGUAAGGUCACGGUUAAUGUGACCAUUAACCGAGGCGGUUCCAUGCCCGCAACGGUUAAUCCGAAAAACAAAAAAAACCAGGGCCUGGAUCUAGGCCUCGCUCCAUGCCGGACCCGACCCGGCCACUACCGCCUGCAUGACGCUACUGUCGUUGCGACCGUGCUCACCGCCAUGAGGGUUGACGAAGAGCUCUUCUCGCCCAAAUCCGGCAUCGGCUUGCUCAUCGCCGCAGGAACUGCCACCAUCAACGGGGAGCUCCUCCCGUCUGGAUCCAUUAUCGAGGGGCGCCACCGCCCUAGAUCCUACACCAGGAGCCCACGAUGUGGUGAAAGAUGCCAGAGGUGGUGAUGGACGUCGGAGGUGGUGGAGGAGAGGGAGGGACGUGCACGUGCCGCCGCACCUGGAUCAAGCCGAGGAAGGCCUGGAUUCGUGAUGGUGGGGCCAGAUCUGAGGUGGUGGGGCUGGAUCCACCACACCGAAGUGCCCCGUGGCGCCGAGCACGCCCUUGGCCCUGUAGUUGUACAUAGCCUAGAUCCGCACCACCCAUGCGCGCUGCCCUAGAUCCGCGCGGCCCACGCACGCUUUGCCCUGGGCCGCCGACCGCCCGCACCCGUGCUGACCUCACACUGCAUCGAGGUAAAGGGUGGGAGGGAGAAGGGGCUGGUCGAAGGAGAAGUUGGGAGCAUCGGGUGGAGGCACCGUUGGAGAGAGAAGAGGGUGAGAGAAGUGGAGGUGAAGAAAACCCUAAGUCCUGCAUAUAUAGUAGCCCGAUAAGGUAGAAUGGGCCACAGAUUUCAUGGGCUUGGCUAGUCCCGAGCCUAUUAAUGGAGGCGGACUUUAUAAAUGGUCCGCCUCAGAAAAUAGGCUAAUUUCUAGAGACGGGCUCUAUUAUAAUAACCGCCUCUGUAAAUGGAUUUUGCGAGGUGGUUAAAAAAACUGCCUCGAUUAAUCAAAAGUGACUGCCAUCAAGGCAUUAGCUGAGGCGGUUUUCGGCGUUGUCCGCCUCCGGAAACAAUUUCAAAACGUCUCGCAAAAGAUUUUUUGUAGUAGUGCAAUUUUUGCAGAAAGAAUUAUGCCCUUUUGCAAUUUUGGUUUGUUAGUUAGCAGAUGAUACUUGUGCUACCAUAUACCCCUCUAGUCCACGAGCAGAUGGCUAGAGGGGUAUAUGAUAGCUGGCAUUAUUUAUUCUCUUUCGAGAAAAGAAUUUUAGAACCUAUAUAAUAUAUAUAUAUAUGUCCAAUUAUAUAUUUGCUUGUAUGGCAAUUAGUGGAGUUGCAACGUAAUUGUUCAAAAAGAAAAAUAUCAGAAUAUAAUUUGAGAGACUACCAUUUGUGAAAUAUUUUUUUUUUCUAUAGGGAGGAAUACCAUUCUUCUUUUAUGUUUUUGAAGAUAUUUAAAUCAUUAUCACUAAAAAGGAUUUCCCACAAAUCAUACAGCAUUCUGAUAUGUUCAGGGGUAACCAUUUUUAGUUGUUUUAUAUACUUUAUUUAGUUAUAAUUUGCAUAUAUCUGAAUGUUGUUGUAGUCUUAGUCCAGCGCCUUCUGGCCACGAGGUCCUCGUACCAGCUGCUAAAGCCGAGCCACCUGGAGCCGCCGAUGGGGUGGGUGCUUUGCUCAUUGUUGAAGUACUCCCACCACACCCCAGUUGUGGUCUUGAAGCCAACGAGGUAUAGGUUGUCAACGCGCAUGUCGACUGUGAGGAAGCUAGUCGAGUUGUGGAGGACGACAUGGAACCACAGCCUGGGACCGUUUGAUCACAUUUUCCCAUACUAUGUGGACGAAGUUGUCGUAGUCAGCUCGAUGAAAGAAUCCCUGAUCUCAGGUGUUUCCAGAUUGUAGAUUGUGAGUGUUGAUUGAUUGUGUAUUGUCUGUGAUAUAGGCAUCUAUAUGUAGUAGGAGAAAUAGGUACCUAUGUAAAUUUCAGAAACAUAAUCAGCCUAGUGUGAUCUCAAGCAUUAUGUUAUUGAUGCCAUUCUUUUUUUUGCAUAAAUUCCUAAUCAAUGCUCAAACCAAUUAGGCCUGGAGAGUUUUGUAGCAUAUGUUUUUAGAAACAUAAAGAUUUCUUUCUGCCGAUAUAAUAUAUUAUUUUAGCCAUAUUACAAAAAGUUCUAUAAAGUACAGUUUGUGAGCCUACAAUGCAGGCUCUCUAUGACUGUAUUAAUUUCAUAAACUUCUUUUUUUGAUUAAAUUUCACUUUAGUAUUGAUAUUUAAUUUUUAUAGUAUUAUUUUUUAUUGUGCGAUUUGUAUAUUUUUAAUAUAAAAUAUUAUAUAUCGCGUAACGAAGCAUGCAUGGUUAUCAGGUUCGUCAAAAAAAAAAAUCGUCACCCUGUGCAAGGUACGUACGGGCAUAGAUAGAUUGCAAACCAGAUUUUUUGAGAUUAUAUUAUUUUUGGCUGAUGUUGGAUCAGAGAUGGUCGCGAUGCCUAUACCUAACGCGCCAAUACUGGCCUUCCUAAUAAAUCCAGAAAUUACAAAAUCGUCGCCGCUUACAUUGGCAGGGGAAAUGGAUCGCAAGAAAUGAAUAGGAAUUCGGAAACCCAAUUGGAUUCAACCUUCUAUCUACACGCACACAUAUGUAAUGGCUAGGAAUUCGGAAAUCCAGUUGGAGCCGUCAGUCCGUCACCGUAUUCCCUUCAACCUUCUAUCCCGACUAGGAUUCAGCCAACGGAGCAGCCACACGGUAUCCACAUAGGUAAAGCAAAUCAAGGUGUACGCAGACGCCGAACAGUCUGAAAUCUUGAAGCAUCCAGAACAGUUUUACCCUAUAUAUAAACAGGCUAGAGCCGGUCAGCAGUAGAUACUCGCGACUUCCACGAUAAAUGGCGAACCACGAGCAUCUUCUGGAAUCGUAAGUCUCUAGAUCUCUACCUCUCCCUCUGUUAAUUGCUUGGAACUUGGAAGUCAUCCCUUAGUUUCUUCUUUAAUUUGCUCAUGCACACGCCAGUGCCCUAGAAAUUAACAAAAUCCUUUCCAUAUUUUUACAAUGGAAUCAACAUGUUUAUGCCUGGUUCUGGACCCAAAUAUAAUCUCUAGGGUUUAGUUUCAGUCUUAUAGACUUUUUUUUUGAGGAAAGCCAUUAGGCGCACUUUAUUGAUUUUGCAAGACAGUUACAUCUUUCACCAAGGCUCUUAGCAGAAAACUAGGGGGUUCAUUGAUCCAAUUACAUGUAAGCUUCUCAUGGAGCGCUAUUCAAGCUAAUUCAUGGGCUACACCAUUUGCUUUCCGUCUACAAUGUUCUAAUGAAAUAGAAACAAAAUCAAGCCACAUCAGUUCACACUGCUCAUAAAUUGGACCACUGAUGGUAGCUGUGAAUCCCCCUUGUCGCAUUGUCUCCACUACCUCCAAGCAAUCAGAUUAAAUUCUUAUUCUAUUGCAUCCCAUUGUCUGAGCUAGUACCAAUUCUUCUCUAAGUGCAGUUACUUCAGCAGUAAUAGCAUCAGACAUGAACUCAAGAUAGCUUAAGGAACCCGUUGAGUCCCUUAUAAUCGCACCUGUUUCUUCCGAUUCGAGUUCAGAUGUAUAACUUGCAUCUACAUUCAGUAGUAAUUCACUUUCAGGUGGUCUCCUCCAACAUUCUUCUUUCUUAAUGCAAUGCAUAUCCAAAUAAGCACUAUAUAUAUCUUCGUUUGAGUUCCCAGGUGAAUUUUGGGAAAGAGAAAAAGAACGUGUUACGACUUACAAUUUUACAGUUUGUAGUUUUUAGUAUUUUUCUUCUGUCACACGGUUUGGUGUAGAGUGUUCACUGUUCGAUCAGCGAGACUUUGGGAGUUUGGAGUACAUGCUGUUUCGAUCCCUCAGUAUUAGACCUAUACUAUAAUCAUGUUUUUGACAUUGGCUUGUCUUUGCAGGCAGAUGAUUAUUGAUUUACUUUUCAACAAAAUUAUAAUAAAUAAGAUGCACGAGAAAUUACUUUUUUAAAUGAGUGUGGUAAUUAACUUUCAACAGUGCCCUCUAUUUAGCCAUAUAGGAAAAACAAAAACUCCAUCAACAAUACUUUAAUAUCUUGCCUAUAGCUAUACAGCAAAUCUGAAGAGAGGGCAAGGGGCACGACAAAAACCAUGCCACAUCUUAACCCUUGAAAUAAGAGAGAAAAAUAGCCAGCAUUGUUGAGAUUGGCUGGGUUCUUUAGUUUUUGCUGCUAUUUCAUUUGUUCUAAGUAUAUUCCCUUUCGUGUAAGAUUCCGUCUGUGGGCUCGAAAUUAGAAUGCCAUGCCUCUGCUGAAAUAGUAGUAUCCAUACUGCUUGAUAUUUUGUUUGCUUCGCUGAAGUUACUAUAAAUAGAACUGGUUAAUUCUCGUCUUGUUUUACUGCAAUUGAAAUAAUCUGUGCUGGCACUGUACUGUUUCAGCACAAACGAGAGUCUUGAAGGCCAGAGCAGUGCUGAAUCCACACUGUCCCUGCAGGAACUCAACGAUGCUUUGAUUGGGAAGCCAGAGCAGUGCUGUCCUUCUGAAGUUGCAGCCCCACGUAUCGGUACAAGGGGGAGAUAUGCAAGGUAAGGCUGAUAGCCGCUUUUUUGUGUUUUGAAUUUUGAUAUGAAUGUACCUUGCUUGUCCCUUUCCAUUUUGCUUUCAAGUUCUUGUACUCUCGAAUGGAAGAUGCAAACGUGACCAACCCUGUGGUCUGCAGUUUAUUGCACUUCAAAUAUAAAUAAUCUGCCUGAUUUCAAGCUUCUCAUAAAAAGAAGGGCAAAGACCAUAAAUUUGAAUGAAGUAAAAUAGGCAUCCAUACCUCAGAUUCAUUCAUAUGUUCUUGUUAACUAAGAGCGGUCACAGCUCCAUUGUACGGAAAUAAGGUAUGAAACAUAUGGUGGAUCAUAUAUCACAAUUCACAAAGAAGCACAAAUGUGAACAUCAUCAUUCUUCUGCGUGAACUUUUGAUCAUUAUGUGUUGUUAUAUAUGAGAAUUGAUGAACUUUGAUCAUUAUGUACUGACAUAUGGGAAUUGAUACCCAUUUGUUUUACAACAUAGGAGUAAAGCGGGAUGGGCUUCCAAGGAACGGAGUACUCCUGAAGGUUACAACCGGGAGGCACACGCUUGGCAGUUUGAAUCCCCUUUCUCGCAAGGGAUGAGCGCUAGCAGUAUAAUGGAUGCAUAUGUAGAUGCAUUUCCAGCUCCUGCUGCUGUCCGUCCACCAAAGAAGAAGAAGUCACCCGAGGAAAUGAAAGCGAUCAGAGAACAAAAAAUCGUGCAGAGUGAAAGAGACUCGGUGCACCAUGUUGAGACAGCCUUGAGUAAAUACAACAGAGCAAACAACACCACGGUAAUGUCACUGUCUCUUUUGUCUCUCUCUGUACCAAAUAGUUACCUGCGGUUUGAACCUUAGAUUUUUUUUUAAAAAAAAAUGCCCUUUUGUGCUAUUUUCAGUUUGAGCUGGACGAGAUAACAGUGAAGUGCCUGUUUUUUGAGUUUGGACGGCCUUGCUAUCAUUAUAACUUCACAGCUAAGCCUGAGAAACAACAUUCUGCUGAUGCCUAUGCUAAGCUUUUCUUCUCGGAGAUUAAUUGCCCUCUUCAUAGUGAGGAUGAUGUAUUGCUGUGUUGUAUACUUGGGGAGAAAGAUGCAGGUAAUGGUUUAAUAUCUAGCUUCAUUAAUAAUUUUCUGAAUCUUCCUAACAUUUUGGAUUUACUCUUGUGCUGUGAUACCAUUUCAUGUCACAGUUGCACACGACUUCUCUUGAGAUUAUUACAAUAGGGCGAUUAUUUUCAUCCUGUCCAUAUAUAGUAAGCAACAUCGGUUUCUUUAAAUAAUGGCUCAUAGAUGCAUUGUUACAUACUCCAUGUCAUGAUGCGCAACAACCCGAACUAUCUGAUGGAACAAUUAAGAAAAUUGGUACUUUUGGGAUAAAUUCUUCCCCGUUCCAGCUUGAAGUUUUUUUUGUGUGCAGCAUAAAACUUGUAUUGCAUUACUUGGGUUACCUAGAUAAUACUAGAUAUAUUAGUGUAGUUAGACAACUACUGUUUUUUCCCUUUCGAUCUUCAAUGUUCAUUUUGUUUAUUUGACACUAGCCAUGUUACAAUUUUAGGUCAUUGCCAUGCCUGCGAGGAUUAUCGACCUACGAUGGUUCACCCAUCAAGUCGUGCAUACGGUGGUGGUAAUACUACUGCUAUCGAUUAUCCUGAUGAGGACAGCUCAAGCUCAGAUUGUGACUAUUAUUAGCAUCUCGCUUGAAAUCCAAGAACAGCGCCUAGAUCAUUUGGCCAUGGUUCACCUUUUGCUGUAAAGGGUUUAGCAUCUCUGGGAGAUAUAUAUAUAUAUUUUGAGUGAUAUUUCGAAAUCUGGACCCUGCUUGUAAUACAAUCGCAGGCAUCCAAUUUUUUUUCGUCUUUCACUUUUGCCUUUGUGAUUACAAUAAACGUACAUGUCCGAUUUUCUGAUCUGACGGAAAAUUAAUAAGCCAUUGGCCAUCUUUGUAUUUCACUACAUACUCACGUUUGGAGGAAACUAGGGCUAGGGUAUUACUCCGUUCACAAAGAUGAGACACCUAAGUACCUGUAAUAAACUAAAACUACAACGUCUUAAACUGGUUACUGGUGCCACACAUGCUACAAGCUAAAGUCGAUGACCUCGGCAAACUGUAGGCUACAACCAAACACAUCUCGCCCCAUGCAUCGCGGCAGAGCUAGCGGGUGCACAUGACCAAGGAUCUGGGAUUGGGCCCGAAUCGACUGAAUUUCAGCGAAAUUCGCCCAAUUCGGCCCAGCCCGAAAUAAAACUAAACGGGCCAAAUAUUUCAGCCCAUUUUUUUAACACAAUUAUUACUCUCCGGACCUGAAUUAUACUAGUAUAAUACUCGUGCUAACGAUCAGUAAAAAAUAGUAGCCACUUGCCGCCGACGCCGGCCGUGACGACGAGCCGGAGCUGCAACGGUCCCACCGGCGCGCGCGAGGUGCACCACGUCACGGCGCCGCGCCUGCGCACACGCACCAUGGACCGCCACGACGGCGCCGACGCGUCCACCGCUGCGUGCGCGAUCUCGACGGCCGCGAUGUCCGUCUGACCGCCCUGGUUGACAAUGGAGAUGCAAGGGGGGAGCGGCGACGCGGGGAGUGAGGCUGGCGACUCUUCCUUCGCCGUCGUUUGACAAGCGACUCUCCGUCUGAUCCCGGUGCCUUCGACCAACAAGUAAGUCAGUCGGCUGCUCUCCUCCUUCCUUGGCUGGUCAUGGCUCUCCCUGUGUUGCCAAACCUUUCCUACAACCCUACCAUUCAGACUCUUGCUGAAGUGUCCCGCCUCUUUGGCACUCCGGUCUAUUGCGCUUCCUCUGAUGACUCCUCCUUUGCUCUCGUUGUUGCCUUUGGACGGUGUAAGUAUAAGCUUUGCUCCGUUGGAGUCAUCCUUCAACCCUCACAACGCCGGUCGCCACCUCCGGCACCGCCGUCCAGACGCAACUCCGCUAGCGAUGGAACCUGGAUCCGGCUCGCGUCGCUCCUGGGCCGACAUGGCCUACGCUGAAGAGGCUGCGAGGGAUGCUGCUAGAUCUGCCUACCCCGAGCUGCCGCCGCUCACGGCCGCUGCUCACGCCUCCCUGGUGCUGCGCACAACCUCCCUCGACUUAGAUGCGACGCCGUUCUCUUCGCCUGGGGCAGGCUACGGGGACCGGCUCCACUUCACCGACUCUGAGGCCUCCUUUGGAGACUCAGAUGCGUCGCCUUUGCAAGGUAAUGUUGGUGCUCCUGUACCCGUUCUGCGGCGGCGGUGGCGUCGUAUAUGUCGUCAUAGGCCCUUUCAGGGGUCUCUCGCUGCCCCACCCCCGUCGCCUGCACCUGUCGCCCAUCCAUCUGUGCUGGCCACCCACCCGCCCCAAAUGACAGGUCAGCUAGAUGCGGAUGGCUUCCGUGAGGUGGUCAGUCGCCGGCACUGGCGGCGAAUGGUCGUUCAACGCCGCCCGGUGCCCGCGAACCUGGUGGGCAAAUGCUUCAACUGCCUAUCGGAGAGCCAUGUCAAGGCAGACUGCACUUCGCCGCCUCGCUGCUUUCACUGCCUCGGUGAGGGGCACCAGGAGCGUUCCUACCCUGCGCUUGGUCGGGACACCGUCAAGCGGGGACGCUCCCCGGCCAUGGGUAUCGAGCGGCGGGGUAGGGGAGGCCGACGUCGUCGCUCUCGCGAGUCAGCGGCGGCCACUGUUUCAGGUCGUUCUGCCUCCACUGGUCGGUCACCGUCGGUCCCGCCGGUCUGUGCCCCCUACUCCGGAACCAGCCCCUGCUGCUUCUGUCCCUCCGGAUGCUGCGGCCACCUACUCGAGGGAAGCGAAUUCGCCGGUCAUCGCUGAUGCACCGGCCCGGUCGUCUUGCGAGAACGAGGUGCCGCUGCCUUCGGCGGUGGGAACUGUUCUUGGCAUUGAGCCGGCUGCGGAGGAUGUCGCCGGUCCUUCCAGAUCUGGGAGGGGCAAAGGUCGUGCUCGCCUCCAUGGGGCUGAGGAGCCGACGGCUUCGCCGCGGACGCGUGCACGGUCACCGCUGCGUCAGCUGGUGGUGGUUCCCCGCACACCGGCACUUCAAGCGGUAGAGGAUGCUCUGUCCAUGGCCCUGCUUGCGCUGGUGCUGGGCACUAGGCCGCCGGUGACCCCGGCCUUGCUUCUUCAACAUUUGUAUGACCAUUAUGGAUUCUUGGAGGAUCGGGUCAUGGUGCGGCGAACAAGACCAGAUGACUUCAUCAUGCGGUUCUCCAACCAGGAUGACCUACAGCGCGUCCUCGACAACUAGAGGCCGGAGGGGGCAGCAUUUACCAUGCGAUGGCGGCGUUGGUCCCGGCUGAUCCUUGGAUCGGCUGGCGCAUUCCGCUACCGAUGCCUAGUCGGGAUAAAGGGUCUACCGUCGCAUGCCCGCUCGACUGAGGUGGUCCAAUGCAUCCUUUGUUCUGCUGAAGCCAGGGCGGAAAUUGCCAACCCGAAGGCUAUGGCGGAUCCUGAUGAUGAGUGUGAACUGUUCGUUGCUAGCUGGUGCGCUCAUCCUGACCUUGUUCCGGAUGAAAUUAUCAUGGCGGUGCCAGAGCCGGAGGAGGAUCAUGAUGGUGGAUCUCCGCUAUACCUCCGACCCCAUGAGAUCAUUCAUGAUGAAGUACCGGCCUUGCGAUACCUGAUACGGCUGAGGUUCAUUGAGUAUCAAGAUUGGUAUACGCCGCCGCCAUCGUCCGAUGAUGAAAUGGACUACGGAGACGACGAUUCUGACAGCGACGACAGCAAUUUCAACAGCUACUACCCUAGAUUCUGUGAUGGAGGUAGCGGCGGUGGCCGCCGUCGGCCGCGUACAACCAGAUUCGGCCGGUCGGAUGAGCCGAGGCUUGGGCCGGGCUCCGGGCCCGCCUGUCGCCCACGUGAUUCAUCGUAUGCCAUCGUUGUGGGGAAGUGGGAGGGCCCUGUCGUGUCGCCUAGGGGCGCUCUACUCUAUGCCAGUGGUGCUGCCAGGCGCGUCACAGAGUUCACGCGUGUCGCGGCGCUAGGGGGCCAGCCAUUUGACCCUGACUGCCCGCCACGGUGCUCACCAUCUCCUGUCAAGACUAGGGCCUUGGACCUGAUGCUCGUGGAGACAAGCCUGUGCACGCCACAAAAGGCGAUUAGUGCCUGUGAAGUGCAGGCCGAAAAAAACUCCUUUCAUUGCUGGCCUGGGGUUGGCUAGGAGACACUACGCAGUGGUCGCAGGCUCAUCCAGACGGCCAUCGACGACUACUUUGAGCUUCUCGUAGGCCGUUUGGCGCGUAUCAAGUGUACGUCGGGGGUCGACCUUGACCUGUCCUUCUACAGGGACAUGAACCAGGAGCCGGUCCAUGGUGCACCACGCCUUUUGGGUGAUGAGGUCGAUUUGUGCAUGUUUGGUCCUGAAGGCUCCUCUGGACCAAAUUCUCCAAUGCACGGGGACGUGAUCUACGGUCAUCUUUCGUCUCCGCCCACCGAGGUCGCCUUUGAAGAUGAGCCUGUGAUUCCAACGUCACGUUCUCAGGAGGCACGGCUGGAGGCAGACGCUGAUCCACCGAACAAAGUAGAUGCUUUCAUCGCCGCCUUCAAGAAGCCGUUGCAGCAGCGUAUCCUGAUGUCAAUGCCAAAGGCGCAUGUCACCAGAUUGGAGCAGGCUCAUCUCAGAACAGACGCUGAGCUUGUGCCCAAGCGAAGUGCAAGACUAGCCGCCAAGAGCAAGAACCGACUGCCAAAGCCUGAAGCCCAAGCAAGGAAAGUGAUGAUGAAGAAGGCAGGGAUACAAGUCAACACGGAACUCGAAGAUGCGGCGAGCUUUGAGGAAUUCCAUGAAGCUUUCAAACUACCAUUGUCUCCAUUCACCAGAGAGGCCAUGGAGGUGCUCCUGCAUGGCAAUUCGCCGCAGGCUACACGCCGUGCUCAUGCUGUCUAAGCAGGCAGCGGAUGUCGCUGUUUAAUCAAACCAUGAUAAAUCAUAAAAUGUUUAUUUGGAACGUCCGCGGUCUUAACUCGCGGGCACGUCACGAUGCAGUGCGCGAGUUUGUGACUUGGGAGCGAGUCUCCUUAAUCUGUCAAGUUGAGACAAAACUCACUGCGCUGCAGCCUUGUAUCCUCAAUGAUAUAAUGGGAAGAGCGUUUGAUUAUGUCUCUUUGGCUUCUGAGGGUGCCUCCGGAGGCAUCAUUGUGGCCUGGCGGCAGAAUGCCUGGACAGCUUCUGCUCAUAUCUGUCGUCAUUUUUCAGUGUCUGUCAACCUGAAGGCAGUGGACUCGUCUUCCUCUUCAUGGACGCUUGCUGUCGUCUAUGGGCCGGUGGACGAUCAGCUCAAACGAGACUUCCUUGGUGAGCUCAGGAUGAUACAUGCACAGAGCUUACAGGCGCUUCUGGUCUGUGGGGAUUUCAAUCUUAUUUAUCAAGCUGCGGACAAGAACAAUGAUCGGCUAAACCUUAGAACUAUGCGUCGCCUCAGGCGUGCAAUUGAUGACUUGGUGCUGGAAGAGCUCUAUCUUCACGGGAGGCUUUACACGUGGAGCAAUGAACGCCGACAUCCGACCAUGGAGCGCAUCGAUCGAGCAUUUGAAACUGUACCGUGGUUAGAGAUGUACACGACGCACCAUCUCAGGACACUUUCAUCGGACAGUUCCGAUCACGCGUCGUUGCUGCUGCAGCUAUGCAUGGAGCCCUGUGCACGAUCAAGGUUCCGGUUUGAGCCCUUCUGGGUGCGCAUGGAUGGCUUCCUGGAGACUAUCGCUCAGUCAUGGGAAUGCCAAGUGCCCAAUGUCGAUGCUUGCCGCCUGCUUGACAUAAAGUUCAGACGAACAGCAAAGGCGCUGCAAAGUUGGAGCAUGCUGAAGGUGGGCAGUAUACGCUCGCAGCUAUUUAUGACCAGGGAGAUCAUUGCCCAGCUAGACAAAGCACAAGAAUCUAGAGCUCUAGCUAUGGACGAGCUGGCCUGGCGCCGUGAACUCAAAUGUCGCAGCCUAGGAUUAGCGUCCUUGGCUCGCACCAUUGCCCGCCAUUGGUCGCGCAUUAGAUACCUGGAAGACGGAGACGCAAACACAAAAUUUUUCCAUCUCUAGGCCUGCCAUAGAAACAGGAAGAGCUACAUACCGGCACUGCUUUAUGAAGGAGCAUGGGUUUCAUCGGAGGAAGACAAGGAAGAAGCGGUUUACAGCCACUACAAAAGGAUCUUGGGGACCCCUUAUCAACGUUAGCACUCGCUGCAAUUUGUUGAUCUGCUGCCGACAAUUGACCUAACAGGUAUUGAUGCAUGCUUCUCAGAGGAGGAGAUUUGGGCAGCAGUGAAGGACCUACCGUCCGACCGUGCUCCUGGACCUGAUGGGUUCAACGGUAUCUUCUACAAAGUAGCCUGGGGGAUAAUCAAGCAAGACAUUGUUAAUGCUUUCAAUGUUGUAUGGUCCCUGGAUGGUAGAAGUUUCUACCACCUCAACUGUGCUCUCAUGAUCCUGAUACGGAAGGAGCAGCCAAAUUCUUUAAGUGACUACAGGCCCAUCAGUUUGAUUCACAGUUUCAGUAAAUUUUCACCAAAUGUCUAGCGAGAUGGCUCGCGCCGCGACUGCAUGAGAUUGUGUCACCUAACCAAUGUUCCUUCAUAAAAGGACGCUCAAUCCAUGAUAAUUUCAGGGCUGUGCAGUUGACUUCUCGUUGGCUAAAUGCUAAGAAGGUUGCUGCUGUGCUGUUGAAGCUGGAUAUCGCGAAGGCUUUUGACUCAGUUUCAUGGCCAUUCUUGUUAGAAGUGCUCCAACACAUUGGCUUCCCCAGGAGAUGGACUGACUGGAUUUCCUUACUGCUUUCAAGUUCUAGCACUAAGAUCAUCAUGAAUGGAAGGCCAGGGAAUAGGAUAACGCUUGCAAGGGGUCUUAGGCAGGGGACCCGAUUUCUCCGAUGCUCUUUGUUAUUGUGAUGGAAAGCCUGAACUCUUUAUUCAAAGAAGCUGAUCGUCGCGGAUCUCCGUGCGUCAUUAUACGCUGAUGACGUGGUGCUCCUGGUUGCGCCUACGCAGACUGAUCUUGCGUGUGUGCAGCAGGUGCUGCUUCUCUUUGCUGGUGCAUCAGGACUGAUUACCAACAUUAACAAAUGCGUUUCUCCCCUAUCAGCUGCUCUGAGGAUCAGUUGGCAAUAGUGCAGCAGGCGUUUCCAUGCACCGUCACCCCCUUCCCAUGCAAAUACUUGGGUAUUCCUUUAUCCCUCAGAAAGUUAAGAAGAUGUGAGGAGCAAGUUCUAGUGGACAGAGUAGCAGCAAGAAUUCCUACAUGGAAAUCAGGUCUCCUCAAUCAUGCAGGAAGGACUGUCCUUGCCAAAGUGACUUUAUCUGCAAUCCCUGUCCACAUUAGUAUUGCCUGCUGCUUGUCAAAUUUGGCAAUCGCACAGAUUGACAAGCGACGCAGGGCCUUCCUAUGGGCUGGGGCUGAGUCGGUAGUUGCAGGGCACUGCAAGGUGGCCUGGCCAACUGUUUGUAGGUGUUGACACCGUUUUUGGACAAGUAUCUUUGGACGCGUAUCUAGAGUUAAUGAGGUGUAGAUCGGUAGGCAGAAAAGUGGUGACUAGUCUACAGAAGAGUUGCCGAUGAGGGUUGGUGCCGAAGAGAAAACGAUGGGAUUUGGCCAAGUCUAGGAGUGGUGAUAGAUUCGUGCCGAUGACUAGUGCUGAUGGUUGCCGAUGGCUAUGAGAGGUGGUUUGCCGAUGGUCAUGGAGAAGGGCGCAGGGGUUGUCGAUCGACUCAUGGUGGUGUAUCGAUCGGUUGUGGAAGAUGAUUUAAUGUUUUCCAUAGUUAUUAGAGUUUGUUUUGUAUACGGAUUCUGUUUAAUUUAGAAUUCGAGUCCUGGUCGUGUCUGAUUGUAACCCUUUUUUGGGCAGGGUAUAAAUAUAAGACCCCGUAGCGAUGUAAGAGACACAAUCAAUCAAACAUAAGUUUUUACACAUAUUCUAGCAUCUACUUUUUCGACGACUUCAUCACCCUACAUAUUUUUCCUUUUACUUACGAGUUCUUAGGGAUUCUUUGAGUCAACCUCGAUGAGUUCUUGAGUUCCGCAUGAAUACCUCUUAGCCGUGACAUCUGGGUGCAUCGCUGUUGUCAGGACCAAAGUGUUCGAGUUACCACCUUUGUCAAUUGUAAGGUCAAAUCGGUUGGCACGCCUUAACAUCAAAUCGGGUAUUAGCCCUUUGUGUUUGCAGAUCUACUUUUGCAUCAACACAUCUUUUGGCACGCCCGGUGGGAUAGAGAUUCAACAUCAAGAUCAACAUGUCGAACACCGAUUUCGACUUGAAGAACGUCAUCCCCGUGACAGAAGCCAAUCUCAGAGAUGAACAGAAGCAAGCUAUGGCAAAAGCUAUGGAGGACUACAAGCAGCUAUGCUUAAAAUCCUUCAGUAUCAACAGGAGUGGCGAGGUGAUCCAAAAGGAAGCAUUGCUGAUGCCUCGGCAAAUCACUUUUGAAGCCAAUCCUGGUAAACUACAAGAGAUGGUUGACAAUGCUAUUAAUCAUGUUCUAAUCAAUCAAUCUAGUGUGUUGUCCAAUACAGUUUUCAAUGCUGUGGCUAGAACUUUCAAAGAAGGACAAGUACCGCCAUCUUAUGUGGGCCCAGCCUAUCAUGAGCCAAGGGCAUCAUCGGUUACAGCUCUAUCGGCUACUACGGCCGUUGCGGGUACAAAAGUUACUUCUCCUCCAAGCACAUUAGGGAUAACUAAUGCGCAAUCUACACUGAUGACGACCAAUCCAUCAACAUCAGAGGGACAAGUCAAACAUGCUACAGAUUUAUUGGCAUCAGCAAUGUCAGGGUCUGUUCCUCCCAAUUGGUGGGGAUAUGGUAUGCCCCUAGAGUUUAUGGCAAAUAGCUCUGGGACGUCUCAAGCGGCUAACAUGACAGGCAAGGCUCCUAUGGCAUCGGCACCCCAGGCUCGCCGAUGACUCAGAAUCCCCAGUAUUCUACAACUACUACUGCAAGACCUUUUACUGGGAAUUCUCAAAUGCCAACGUUCCAGAUGCCUAACGCAUCGGAAGAUUCAAUGCCGACGCAGCAAAGGUUUACAACACAGCCAGGGUAUGCCAAUUCAAUGAUAAUGCCCAAUUAUCAGCCAUCGGCAGGACCUACACCGAUGAAUGUCAAUAAUGGAUGGACAGGGCAGUUUGUCUUUCCACAAAUACCUCAGCAGAAUCAUCAGGCUAUGGGAUUUCAACAGGACCAGUGCAACCUAGAUUUCAGAAUCAAGGGUUGAUCAAUCAGCCGAUGAAUCUUGGUCAGCAAGUUGGCGGCCAACAUGCGGUGGCAAAUCCUAUGUUCCCUGGAGAUCGUGCACCGCAGAGACACGUGGAAGCUUAUCAGCAUAUGUCAGAUCCACAACCAGCUCAUCGGCAAGAUGCCGAUGCUUACUGGGCUGAUAAGAUAGCUGAGGUGAUGAGAGACCAAUUUGGGAUAAAACCCAAAGUCAACACAUACUCUUAUCGGACACCGUAUCCUCCUGCAUAUGACCUAAUUCCACUUCCAAAUCGGUACAAGGUGCCGGAAUUCACCAAGUUUUUGGGACAGGAUGAUACAUCAACCAUGGAGCAUGUUAACAGGUUCAUCAUCUAGUGUGGGGAAGCUGCUAACAGAGAUGAGUUAAGGGUUCGUCUAUUUUCAUCAUCUUUGUCUGGAUCGGCCUUUACUUGGUUUAUUUCAUUACCUCCAAACUCAGUAAUCAACUGGGCCGAUCUAGAAAAAUAGUUCCAUAAAUACUUCUUUUCUGGAGUACAUGAGAAGAAGAUUACCGAUUUAGUCAGGCUAAGGCAGCGCAACGAUGAAUCGGUUGAAAGCUUUGUACAAAGGUUGCGAGAUGUUAAGAAUAAAUGUUAUAGUCUGGUUCUAGAUGAUUGGCAGCUUGCCGAUUUGGCUUUUCAAGGAUUGUUGCCACACAUUAAAGACAAGUAUGCUUCUCAAGAGUUUGAAAGUCUGAGCCAUUUAGUGCAGAGGAUUUCAGACCAAGAUAUCAGAGCUUUUGAACCUAAGAGAGCAUGAAACAAAAAGGUGUCAUUUGUCGAUGAGGCAACAACCUCAAACUCUGAUGAAGAACCAGUCAUCGGCUUGGCAGAGUGGGUAAAGAAUAAGAAGCCGAUGUCUUGCCCUUUUGAGCAUAAAGAACGAGAAAAGUUUGCAUUUGAUAUCACCAAGGCCGAUAGGAUAUUUGAUUUUCUGCUUCAGGAGGGGCAAAUUAAGUUAUCACCCAAUCAUGUGAUUCCAUCGGCAGAGGAAUUAAAGAAGAUUAAGUACUGCAAGUGGCAUAAUGCAACAUCCCACAGUACAAAUGAGUGCAAGGUUUUCAGGCAACAGCUACAAUCGGCUAUAGAGUCUGGGAGAAUUAAGUUCAAUAGCUCCAAAGCUCAAAAACUGAUGAAGAUCGAUCAACAUCCUUUCCCUACAAAUAUGUUGGAUGCUAAGGGAAAAACCAAAGUAUUGACUGGCAGCUAAAAGAAGCGCAUCGGUGGAUCUCAACAUCAAAUUACUGCCGAUGAUGCCAAAGGCAAGGGUUUGAUCCAAGAAGGAACCAGCUCAGGAAGGCCUCCCCGAUCUGGCAUUGUGAUCACUCAUAGAAGGCACCGAGAAACCUGGCAGCAGCAUGAAGAUCGGUAUCGGCGCCAACAAGGGUAUCGUCGUCGGGAAGAAGAAAUACACCGAUAAGAGUGGAAUCGGCAUAAAGAUCAUUGGAAUUGCCCGUUCUUCAUCCACUGUUGGGAACAAAACAUCAAGCUACCAACUGUUAGAGACUGCCCUGAGUGUAAUGGCUAUAAUCAGUAUGAUAGACCAAAUCGGCAGUAUCAGAACAAUGAUCGGCGUUUUGGUGGGCCAAUUAGAGAAAGGACAUCGGUUCAUGAUCGACUGGGGGGCAGACUCAGUGUGCACGAUAGGCUUGGUGAACGUAUUGGCUAUUUUCCAAGAAGCCAAGAAGAGCUUGAGGAGAUGGCAGAUGCACGAGUUCCUGAUGAAUUCAUAUUCUGUAGGGAUGCCAAUACAUAUCGAGUAGAAUCAAGGGAAAAUCGUCACCAGUCGGUGAAGCAGACACAACUUCCUCCAUGGUGUCCAGAGGGGUUGACAAGGACACAGAAAAGAAGGCUGCAGCAGGAGCGACAAGAAGAACUGAGUAAAGGAGAGAAUUUUGCUAAGACUGGAGAUCGGCAGCAGUCAGAUCCUAAAGGAAAAGGUCCAUCGGCAGACGUUAAUAUGGUGUUUACGUUGCCGAUGGAAUUCCUUGCACCUUUUAGUGAUGAUGAGGAGGAAAAUUUUCUCGAACAGAUAGCUCAGUUGGCUCUAGAUCCGAUGACGGCUACUUUUGAAAAGCCCGCCGAUAAUGAGAGACAACACCUUAAAGCUCUGUUCGUCAAAGGUAGGGUUGAUGGACAGCCGAUGACCAAGAUACUUGUUGAUGUUGGGCUGCUAUCAAUAUUAUGCCGUAUGCAGUUUAUCGGAAACUUGGAAAAGGAGAUCAGGAUUUGACCAAGACCGAUAUGAUGUUAAAGGAUUUUGAAGGAAAUGUGACUUCAGUCAAGGGAUUUAGGGUUUAGGGUUUAGGGUUUAUGGUGUUGAGUUGACCAUCGGCAGCAAAACCUUGCCGACAACUUUCUUCGUCAUCAGUGGAAAGGGUGCUUAUAAUCUACUAUUGGGGAGAGAUUGGAUCCAUGCCAAUUGUUGCAUCCCAUCUACGAUGCACCAAUGUUUGGUUCAGUGGGUAGGUGACAAGAUUGAAAUUGUCCCAGGAGAUUCUUCAUAUGUCAUCGCAUCGGUAGAGGCAGAUACUUAUGAAAGGACCAGAUGCAUUUCAGGGGAGAUUUGGGAAAAGGAUUUUCUCCAAGUUGCCAAUUAUGAAAUUCCAACGAUCCAAGCAGUCGGUUCUGAUGAGGAGACUUAAUGGAUAGGUUUGCCGAUGAUGGAAAAUUAGGCCAGGGGUUUACAUCGGCCGAUGAUUUAGUAGAAGUAGAUAUAGGUAAUGGUGAUAAGCUAAGGCCUACUUUUAUUAGUGCUAAGUUAGAUUCCGAGUGUAAGCAGUAGUUAACCAAUUUGUUAAAGGAAUACAAAGAUUGCUUUGCUUGGGAUUAUACCGAGAUACCUGGUUUAGACCGAUCUAUUGUUGAACAUCGGUUACCUAUCAAAUCUAGAUUUCGGCCGCAUCAGCAGCCAGCUCGCUGAUGUAAUCCUAAUAUUCUUCCUGAUAUUAAGGCCGAAACAACUAAAAUUAUUGAAGCUAAAUUUAUUCGACAAUGUCGAUAUGCCGAGUGAAUUUCCAAUGUUGUUCCAGUUUACAAGAAGAAUGGGAAGCUUCAUGUCUGCAUUGACUUUAGGAAUCUUAACAAGGCUAUGCCGAUGGAUGGUUAUCCAAUGCCAGUUGCCGAUUUACUAGUUGAUGCUGCAGCCAGACAUCGGAUCAUUAGCUUUAUGGACGGCAAUGCAGGAUAUAAUCAAAUAUUCAUGGCCAAACAAGAUAUUCCAAAGACUGCAUUUAGAUGUCCUGGUCAUGUUGGGUUAUUCGAAUGGAUAGUCAUGACCUUUGGCUUGAAAAAUGCUGGUGCUACUUAUUAGAGGGCUAUGAAUUUUAUCUUUCAUGAAUUCAUCAGCAAGCGUUUGGAAAUCUAUAUUGAUGACGUGGUGGUUAAGUCUGGAGAUUUUGCAAAGCAUCUUGCCAUUCUUCGAAAGGUGUUGGAGUGCACAAGGAAACAUGGUUUAAAGAUGAAUCAUAAUAAGUGUGCAUUUGGUGUAUCGGUAGGACAAUUUCUUGAUUUCAUGGUGCAUCAGAAAAGAAUUGAAAUUAGUAGGAGGUCUAUUGAUGCUAUCAGCAAAACAGUUGCUCCCACCAACAAAACUGAACUCCAAUCUCUGAUCGGCAAGAUAAAUUUUAUCAGGUGAUUUAUAUCUAACUUGUAUGGUAAGAUUCGUGCUUUUAGUCCUUUACUUAAGUUGAAAGCCGAUCAAGAGUUUGUGUGGGGAAGAGAGCAACAGUCAGCAUUGGAUGAAAUCAAGAAUUAUUUGACAAAUCCUCCAGUUCUGAUUCCAUCUCAGCAAGGAAAACCUUUCAAAUUGUAUUUAUCUGACAAUGGGAUGGUCAUUGGUUCGGCUCUAAUUCAAGAAUUUGAAGGGAAGGAACGUGUGAUUUAUUAUUUAAGUAGAAGACUAGUUGAUGCUGAGACAAGGUAUUCGACAAUUGAAAAAAUAUGUUUAUGCUUAUACUUUUCAUGUAUUAAGUUGAGAUACUAUUUGCUAUCAGCCGAAUGCACCGUUAUAUGCAAAGAUGAUGUAGUCCGGUACAUGCUAUCUAUGCCAAUUAUGAGUGGUAGAAUCGGCAAAUGGAUUUUGGCGCUGCCGGAAUUUGAUCUACGUUACGAAUCGGCUAAGGCGGUUAAAGGGUAUAUUAUGGCCGAUUUUGUGACUCAGCAUUGUGGUGAAGUAGGGACUUUGGAGAUUGUUCCUUGGAUGCUCUUCUUUGAUGGAUCCACGUGUGACCGGGGGGCAGGAAUUGGUAUAGUAUUAAUUUCUCCUCGAGGAAAGAAGUAUGAGUUCUCUUUACCGAUUGUUGCCACGUCAACGAAUAAUCAAGCUGAAUAUCAGGCUCUGAUCAAAGGGUUGGAAUUGCUAAAAGAGGUUCAUGCCGAUGAUGUUGAGAUCUUCGGCGAUUCUAUGCUUGUUAUAAAUCAAUUGGCUGGGAUUUAUGAAUGCCGAAGCGAGGUCUUGAUAACCUAUUAUGAAAAGAGUAUGCAACUGUUAAGGGAAUUCAAGAAUUUCCGAUUGGAGCACGUUCCUCGAUUACAUAAUAAAGAGGCUAAUCGGUUAGCUCAACAUGCCUCGGGGUAUCAACCUAUCUUAAAUAUGUUAUCGGCAAUCAGUACCGAUGAUUGGAGAAAAGAAAUCAUUGAUUACUUAAAGGAUCCAUCUAAAAAGGUUGAGAGGUGUGUCAGGUUUCAAGCUACUGAGUAUGUACUCCUUGGAGAAGAGUUAUAUUAUCGGACGAUAGAUGAAGUUCUACUCAAAUGCUUGGGUGAUGAUGGGGCUAAAAACUUAAUGGGUGAGAUCCAUGAAGGAGUAUGUGGAGCACAUCAAUCGGCUUUUAAAAUGAAAUGGAUGAUUAGGAGAAACGGAUAUUAUUGGCCAACUAUACUUGAGGAUUGCUUUAAAUAUUUCAAAGGUUUUCAAGGAUGUCAGAGGUUUGGUAAUAUUCAAAGGGCAUCCGCAUCGGCCAUGAAUCCUAUUAUUAAGCCUUGGCUGUUCCGGGGGUGGGCUAUUGAUCUAAUCAGCCAGAUCUAUCCGCCAUCAAGCAAGGGGCAUAAGUUCAUCUUAGUUGCCACUGACUAUUUUACUAAGUGGGUUGAAGCUAUUCCUUUGAAGAAAGUAACAUCGGCUAACAUGAUUGAUUUUGUGAAAGAGCAUAGUGUUUACCGAUUUGGUAUUCCUCAAACAAUCACUACCGAUCAAGGUACUAUGUUCACAUCGGGGGAGUUUGAUGAAUUUGCAAUCGGUAUGGGGUUAAAGUGUUGAAUUCUUCUCCUUAUUAUGGUCAAGCCAAUGGACAAGCUGAAGCAUCUAACAAAUGAAUUAUUAAGCUCAUCAAACGAAAGAUUGAAGAAAAUCCUAGAAGAUGACAUACAUUGUUGAAUGAAGCUUUGUGGUCAUAUCGAAUGACAUGUCAUGGAUCGACCAAAGUUUCACCUUAUCAGUUAGUAUAUGGACACGAUGUAGUGCUACCGUUGGAAAUGAAGACUGGAUCUAGGAGGAUAUCUUUUCAAAAUCAACUGGCUGCCGAUGACUAUGCUACUUUGAUGAGAGAUGAGUUAGACGACUUGGCAGGGCAUCGGCUGAAAGCUUUGAUGAGUAUAGAAGAAAAUAAAAAGAGAGUUGCUAGGUGGUAUGAUAAAAAGGUGAAAGCUAAGGAGUUUUCCAAUGGAGAUUUGGAAUGGAAAUUAAUUUUACGAAUUGGGACUAAAUGUUCAAAGUUUGGCAAAUGGUCUCAUAAUUGGGGGGGUCCUUAUCGGAUAAAUCGGUCUGCUCCUGGUAAUGCUUAUUUUGGAGACUCUCAAAGGAGUUGAAUUUCCCAGAGCAUUGAAUGGAAAAUAUCUAAAGAGGUAUUACCCAAGCAUCUGGGUCGAUGCAUAAAAUUUUAAGUGCCGAUAACACUCCUAUCGGCUGGGUAAAAUUUAUCUGGGGCUGUGCAUAAUGUUUUAAAAGGUGCCAAUAACAGUCCUAUCGGCUAGACUGGAAUGAUGAGAAGUCUCUAAGAGCAGGACGAAACAAGCCGCCGAUGAAGAGCUUACAGAUUAAGCAAAGCUUGAAUGGCCGAUAUGGCGCGUAGGCGAAUCUGGUCAGCUUCUUCUAUCUCUCGGAUGUCUUCAUCGGCAGAACCCUCUACUGGCUUCAGCUUCUUCUUCAUCUGCAAUGCCUUACGGGCAUGGAUGUUCCGUUCUUGUUGGAGAGUUUUGAUCAUCUCAGGCAGCUGGCUUUCUUCUUGCUGAGCUUGAGUUAAGGCUUCUUCCACUUGUUUGAGCUCGGCUAGCAGGGUUUCUUUCUUGCCGAUAGAUCAGAAAUCUUCUCUUUCAGCGUUUCCUCUGAAGACUGCAGAAUGCCGAUGCUCUUGUGUUUCUCAUCGGCAAGGCGCUUUACUUGCAUUACUUCCUCUAUGAAUUGGACGUGAGCAGCUCUAUCGGCAAGACAUUGGGUGGCUUUCUGAUACUGAAGCUGGCGGCUUUCCAAGUGUGCAGCUUGAAACAAGAUUUCUUCUGCAUCGGCUGGGAUCUGGCCCCAAAGGGCUUUAAAUAGAGCUUUGGCUGGAUCGGAGUCAUCAACCAACUGAGCAGUAUCUUGAUGCAGCAGGGCCAACAGGUCUUCCAGCUUGAUUUUGAUUUCUGCCAAUGAGACCCCUACUGCUUGGGAGGAGCUCGCUUCUUCACCUUCAUCAUCAGAAAUAUCAAUAGCAAAGGAGAAUAAGCUGUCUAGAGAGUCUUGUUCCUAAAAAGGGAGCAGAGAUAAGUUGUCUGGUAGUCGGAUGUUGAAAAUAAAAAAAUGGAGACCAGGGACUUACUUGUUUCAGUUUCGCGCUUUUGAUGAAGGGAUGCGGUCGGUGCUAUAGGUUGAUCGGCUGGAGUUGUCGAUGGAACGAUAUCAACUGAGAAAUAACAAGGGCAAUAAUUUAAAAGGAAGAAAAUAUAUCCAUCGGUGAUAAUUUUUAUGGUCAGUACUUUACCUUGAGUUGGUGCGGUGCUUGUUUGUUCUGGAGGAAUAACCGAUGAUAUGAUCAGAUCCGCUGGAUCGGCAGUCUGCUCAAGUACAUAGGCUGGUGCUUCUUGUGGUUGAGGUGCUGGUUGAGGAGGAGACGACGCUUGCUGUGUCUCAAUUUCUGGUGAAGAGGGGGACAAUUCCACAUGAAUCGGCGACACUGGACGAGGGGGAGAAGAUGGUGCUAUUUUCUGACGCUUUGGUUGUGAUUUGGUACUCUUGGGACCUUUCCUCUUGACUUGGCCAGGCUGGGGGGCAUCGGCACUUGUUUGAGCACUUCUGGUUCUUGCCGAUUUGCCAGUCUGCUGAUGCAAUAACAAAAGUUUCGUGAGUACAAAUGUAACAGAAUAUUGAUGAAAUUUUGUUGAACAGUGAAAGUUACCAAUGAAGUUCCCAUAGCAGCCGAUGUAUCCUAAAAAGAUUUUGUAAGUAUAGAAUGGAAUCGGUAUAAAUUGAGGAAAUAAAAAAUCUACCUUGAAAGCUUGUGCCGAGGUAGCAGCGGCAACCGUUGGAGACGUCUUUGACCGCCUGGUGGUUAUCUUCUUAAAACGCACAUUCCGGUGCAUUAGAGCUGCCAGGCUUGGUGCGUUGUUGCCGAUCAGAGAAAUUGGACCUGACGGGAGGAGUUCAAUCGGCUUUCCACUUCUGCUGACUGUUGGUGGCAAGUUGUCGACCUGUUUGAAAAAGAGAAAGUGAGUUACUGAUAAGGGUAAAAGUAACAAAAGAAUUGAGGUAUCGGUUGGGAACUUACAUUGUUUUUGGGAACCUUAUACUUGCGGUCGAUCAUGCCGCGGUAUGUCACAGCCGAUGUGCAGAAUAGGUGUUCCUUCCACUCUUCCCACCACUGCUUGUACAUCUGAGUGAUGAAAAGGGCUGGGAUCCAUGCCGAUAAAUCAAUGUCCAACGUAUCGGCAUUUCGCUGAAGCUGAGCUAUUCUUAUCCACUCAAGACCGCUGGUUAUAGUCUCCGUUGGCUUCACCACAUCGGCAUAACAGAGUCCAAUCGGUAGCUGUCCAAAAGCCAGUUGACGAGCCAGUGCCGAUGGGUUAUAGAAUUCAUAGGUGGGGUUGGAAGUCUUCCCACUGCCAAAGAAAUUCACUAGUAUGGUUUUUGGAGUAAUAAUUGCCAUCAUCAGGUCAUGGUCCUUAUUGAGGGCGUCAUCAAAAGGGUGCAAAGUGAGCGGGAGUCUGGUUUCUGUGUCCUCAUAAGGCAUCCAUGCCCGCUGAUCUUUGGCACGACCCUCAUAGAGAGUUUGGAAGAAUCGGCUGACCUGGUCUUCGUUGCCACCAGUACCAGGUAAAACUAUGGUAGCCUCACCAUAGUUCAAAGAUGGGCGAGUUGCCGAUUCUUCAUCAGCCAAUUCAUGAUCUUCGGCGAUAUCUCUGGGAAAGCGUUGUGCGAAGAGGUCAAAUCCAAGGCGUUUGUGCAUGUGAACACUGAGCCACAUGUUGAUGAACCACCAAGGUCCUCCUAAAUUGCCGAUGGGUUGGCCUAACAAAAGCUUCUCGGCUACUUGAUGAAGGAGACGAUAAACAGAGCCUAACAAGUAUCGGCCAAGGGGAAAAUGACCACCGCUGGCUAGUUUCUCUGCUGCUGAUAGAUAAACAGAAGUUGGUCCUGCCGAUCGGCCGCAAAAUGCAAAUUUAUCUAGCCACAUAUUCAGAAAGAUAGCGUGUUCCCUUUGCCCAACUGGUCCUGUUUUUCGGUACUUCUGAAUGUACCCUGACCAGCCGCUGAUGCUACGAGUUUCCACCUUACGUUCAGGCUUACUAUCGAACAGGUGACUAUCAUCGGCAGUUGUGAUUUCCAGACCAGUGAGCAUAAGUACAUUGGCAAGGGUAGGAGAAGCAGGGCCAUGGCCGAAUACGAAAGCAUUAAGGGUGUCUGACCAGAAGUACGAAGCUGCUAUCAAUAGUGAUUCGUUUCUUUCCAUAUCGGCAGUGGAUAGCCCAAUGCACUGGUCUAGUUUGCGCUCACCCCAUUGAACCUCAUUCGAGUUGCCGAUUCUCAAGAACCAAUCUUUCCACCCCUUGGUAGAACUGUGCCAGGAACGAAAAGUGUCUUUCCACAGAUCUAAAGAGAAGUUCUCAGCUCUAAAGGGGAUCCUAUUUGUCUCUGCAUUUAUCAAAUCGGAAGGAUCUAGGUUUCCCAAUGGACCAAGGCAUUGGAAGUGGGGUUGAUCGGUGGGAAUAACAAUUUUCUCGGCUAACUCCUAUAGGUUUGAAGGUUGAAAAGACAGGGAAAAGAAAGAGAGAAAAUACCAAGUAAAUAAUUGUGUGAAAGAUCAAGAAUAUGGUAAAAAGAAGAAAGGGGAUGUUGAGUUGACCUCAGGGACGACGAAGUUGAUGGCCAUUUCUUCCCGAAAGGAGGAAAGGAUCGAAGACUCAGAAGAUUGUUGGAGGAGAUCCUUGCCGGAGUUCUUGAAGUUCUCGAACAGUGCCGCCGCCAGGAAGGUGGGUUUGAGGCUGUAGAAUGACAAGAUGGAGGAAGUGUGGGGGUAUAAACCCCUAUACCCUUACGGCUAGACUUCGGCCAGGAGGCUUGGCCCAUUACGAAACAAGUUCGAGGCUUGAUCCGAUCGCUUGGAGUUUCGUGCAAGGAAACAAGAUGUGGAGAUCAAGCAGGAUUCUAGUCGGUUAGAAUAGGAAUUGAUAUCGAGCUAUCUUUGGCAAUUGUAACCGACUAGGAUUAGUUUCUAGAUCUGUAACCCUGCCCUCCGGACUAUAUAAGGAGGGGCAAGGGACCCCCCAUGGGACAUGUUAUUCUCUCAAUCCAAUACAAUCAGACGCAGGACGUAGGUAUUACGCCCACACGGCGGCUGAACCUGGAUAAAAAGCUUGUUCGUGUCUUGCGUCACCAUCGAGUUCGUAGUUUGCGCACCGUCUACUGAUAAACUACUACCGUGGGUAUACCCCAAGGUAGACUGCCAACAAGCUUUCGUCGACAGUGGCGCGCCAGGUAGGGGGUGUGCGUACAGCUUUUUUUGGCGAACAAGAUGGUCAUCGUUCCAGCUUCCGCGGCCGUGCCUAAAGGCCUCACGUUCACCGUCAGCCAGAUUACGUGGACAACUCGCGGCGGUGGCCUCAUGACCACGAUUUCAGAAGAAACCCAGAUCCAAUCUGGGAUGACUAUAGCAUCGGCUCCGACCACGCGGACACUGGCACCGAGCACCCGACCACAGCUUCCGCACUACAAGGGAAAGAAGAUCGAUGGCUCGGACCUUCUCCGAGCCCUUGACCGCGCUGAUCUCAAGCUUCUCGAAGCUUCCCGACUAGUAGAUGGGAUCUCGCGUCAGCCUGAUCAAGCCGCGCCAACAGAUUUUUUCAACUCCUACCGGCCAACUCGUGUCAUCACACACGAACGGCUGGGAACGUCUCUGACGAUAACCUCCAGCCCCUCAGGACGGUCCGUCAAACUCGAGGCUAAUCCAGAACAAGAUUAUCCUUACGGUCUGAAUAACUCGGCCGUUCUCUACUCGCGGCACAUCCAAUCCCUUUUUGACGAGGCUGGUUGGUUGCCAAAAUGGAGCGGUCGACCAGCUCGUCACUACGUCAACAUGGUGACGAUCCGAGAACUACGGGACGGCCAGGCUUCCAGCACAAACUCCAGCACUGGGUCCGUUCCCACUGAAGUCAUAAACUCCGAGGACGAGGACUACGACCUGGAUUUACCACCAUAUCCUCCGGGUUUCUCUCGCUUUCCGGUCUUUCCACCCCGGCGAGGAGACCUCGUCUUCAAUGUCUGCGCCGACGAGCCGGUCGUUGAUGGAGAAACAGAUGAGCAGAGGCAGCUCCGCGAGCAGCGCAAUGCCGACCGCGCCCGACGACGCGCGGACGAGGAGUGCCAACUCCCGCCGCAUAAUCUCACCGACGCUUUCGACAUGGUCGGGGAUCAGCCAGGAAGUAAAUCAGCACAGGGAUCUUCGAUACAACAUCCCUCCCAAAGACGCCCGGGACCGCAUCAACAGGCGCGCCACAGAGAGAGCAGUUCACGAAAACCUGCGUCGUAUUGAGUACGAUGCAACGCACGGCCCCCCGGGCCUGAGACAGUUCUCCUCACACCUCCGCCAGGUCGUGUGGCCCCGAAACUUCAAGCUCGAGAAGCUCAAGAAAUACGACGGCAAGGAAAACCCAGAAAACUGGAUCACUAUCUAUGAGAUCGCAGUUCAUUCAGCAGCAGGAGACGAGCACGUCAUGGCUAACUACUUCCCGGUCAUCCUCGAUCAGGCCGGUCAUCAAUGGCUCCUGGGCCUGCCCGAGGACUCUUUUGACUCUUGGGAAGAACUCCGCCAAGCGUUCAUCGACAACUUCAUCACUACCUGCGAGUAGCCCGGGAACAAGUACGACCUCGAGAGGAUAAAGGACAGGAAAAACGAGCCUCUGCGCGACUACAUCCGACGGUUCUCGGAUAUGUGCCUCAAAAUCCUGAAAAUUUCCCACGACGAGGCCAUAUCUGCUUUCAUCAAAGGGCUACGCUUCCACGAAGCACUGAGGAACAAGCUACUACGCAAAAGGCCAACGACGAUGGCUGAACUCCUUGCCACGGCCAAAAAUUAUGCCGACGCCGACGAUGCAGAAAAACUCAUCUGGGACGACACAAGAGGUCCCGACCAGCUUCCUCGACGAGACGACAGUCGUGGUCGUUUCGACAACAGGAAUCAUCGUCGCCCCGACGGCCGCGAUCACAGAGAAGGUUGGGAUAGGCGGCGUGACAAUCGUGAUGACUUCAGAGGCAAGCGCCCUCGUGACCACGACCAAGAGGUGAAUACGGUCAAGCGUCCCAACGGGCGGCGAGACUACCAGGAAGACUACAACAAGACAUUGAAGGGACCAUGCCAACUACAUCCAAAAUCCAACCACACGAUGGAGGAAUGUUGUGUCCUCAAAAGCAUCUACACGCAGCGGGCUGCUCAAGACGACCCCGCCAAGAAAAACGGGAAACAGGACGGGCGCGAUCACGAAGACGAGGACGAGGACCAGGAUAGGGACCCACGACACCAGUAUGUCAGUCCACCCGACGUGGUCCACUCCAUCUUCAGGGGCAAGGUCUCCAUCGAGUCUAAGCGAGAAAGAAAGCUCUUAAAGAGAGCCUGCCUCUACAUAGACAGCACGGACGGCCUGAUCGCCGACCUGAAAUUCCCUCCCUGGUCGCACAGGGAGAUCUCCUUCAGCAGGAAGGAUCAGUGGGCCGCCAUCCCGAAACCAGGACGCUUCCCUCUAAUAUUGGAUCCCUGCAUCAACAGCAUCAGAUUUGAGCGCGUACUCGUCGACGGGGGAAGCUCCAUUGACAUCCUCUUCCGCAAUAGCUUGCCUGCUCUCAAGAUAACCCUGGCACAGCUAAAGCCCUACGACGCUCAAUUCUGGGGAGUCUUACCAGGUCAAAGUUCAGUACCCCUCGGACAGAUAACGCUGCCUGUCUAGUUCGAAACAUCCGACCACUUUCGAAUAGAGUUCGUCAACUUUGUGGUCGCCGACUUUGAUGGAACUUACCACGCUAUACUGGGCUAACCAUCGCUGACAAAGUUCAUGGCAGUUCCACAUUACUCAUACCUGGUCCUCAAAAUGCCUACAGAAAAGGGCGUCCUAACUGUUCGAGGCAAUGUCUACACCGCAUACACCUGCGAGGAGGAGAGCUUCAAGAUCACCGAAGCAAUUGAUCUUUCAAUCCGCAUGGUAGAAACUGUAGCCCAAGUCGCACAGCUGUUGGGUAUUUUAAACGCAAACAGAAAAAUCCGCAAGCGCACGGAUACCGAUGUAGCCUUCACCCAGGAGUAUUCCAGAGUAUCGAUUUUCCACAGAGAACGUGAGUGUACUAAUUAAGAUCCAAGAUCGCCCAAGGAUAACUAUAUAAUUAUUUUUGGUGGGAAGAGAGGAAGUUUCCUGAGAGUUCUCUAGUUGAUCUAAGAAUCAAGAAUUACUUCAAAAUUAUCUAUAUCGGGACAUCAGAGCACUAACCACAGAAAGAGAUGAGAAGGGGGCUAGGAAGGUCUGACUACGGUCCUACAAACACCGAUCCGAAUGUGGUGGAAUACGUCGACCGUUAGGGCUGUCACUACCCUAAGGCUACCACAACAAUCCGCAGGAUUGGGUGCAAUUCCAGGUAAUCGCAAGACUAAACACCACAUCUAAUCUAUUAAUUACUACUCUAGUGUUAUAAAGACUAGAGCACUUGAUGCAAGCAGGAAUCCAAUAAAUAACUUGAAUGUAAAUAAAAGUAAUUAAAGAACUCAGGAAUUAUGAAUUGAAGAACCUGGAGAAUGAUGAAGAACGAACCAGUUGCUGCAAAAGUACAAUGUUGAGGAAGAUCCGACAGAUCUGGCUCCUCCUCCGCUCUCCUCUUCUCUCUCCCUAUUUUCUAGAUUACAACUAGAACUAACUAGAACUAGAACUAGAGGAACUAGAACUAGAACUAGAUGAACUAGAACUAGAUCUAGAUGAACUAGAGGUAGAACUAGAGGGAUCCUCUCUACUUGGAUGAAGAAUUAAAAUCCUAGCUUUGAUUCUGUAGAAGAGGUAUGCUCUCCAGGGGCCAGAGGGCCUUGCUUAUAUAGUCUUUUCAGAUGAAUCUGGGCCGUCGGAUCAAACCGACAUUAAUCACAUGGUUUCCCUUGGUCCCUUAGGUCGGUGGAGCACGAUCUGCGAAGUUGAAGCUGAUUAGUUACUGUAGCUUGGCGGGCACCCAAGGGACUUGGGCGGGCGCCCUGCUCCCGGGCCCGAUCGGCCUCCCGUUCGUUCCCGUGGCUUCUAGAGUCUUCUAGAUGAUAGAAAAUUGUGCGGCACGUUAAUAUCUCUAUGUAAACCCGACGUGUGGGCUUUUCUUCCGUAUUUCCUGAUAACCCCCUGCAGAAAUAGACAAACACCAAAACUCGUGGAAUUCUGUCAGAUAAAACCCUAAGUCGAGGUGUUGGCUGCAUAUAAGUCUUUUUCCAUGAUUAGUUGAUGGUUAAAUGUGAGCAUUAAGGACCAUCAACAAGCUCCCCCAAUCUUAACCUUUGCUCGUCCCUGAGCAAAGAUGAACUCAAGAAUUUCUGCAGUGGUUUCAAUAAAUGCGUUCAAACAAGAUCUCAUCUCUGGGUUAGGGUAAACUGUUAAGAUUUAAAACUUACUUGUUUUACCUUUUACCAUGGCACUUGUAACCGUCACCUCUGUCUUGAGCAGUUAAAAGAUAGAACGGUCUAGUCAAGCACCAUGUCUCUUGUUCUUCGAUUAACUAUAGCUCUGGAGUUUUUGCAGAUUUUCAAAUAAAACUCAGAGAUUCCUUGUAUAACUGUCUCUAGUCUCUCUUUUGUGGUAUUUCUAGAUCCUUACCAAGGCAGUAAUGGUGUAUGUCUUCUCUCAAAGUAUGUGGUAUUUUUGGUAUGAGGCAUACUGGCAUUGCCUUCUCUCUCACCCUACUCUAAUAAGGUUUUGAUAUCUGGAGCUCAUAGGUGGGAGACAGCUAAUACAUACUUAUAAGACAUUUAUUGCAUAGUCAAACCAUGGAUCCAGAAGAACAAGUCAAUAAGCCAAAUCAAGACGUGCAUGUGUGGCGAAUGAAUGGUGCAUGGUAAUGAUGGUGAUAACAAUGGUAAAAGUCUAAUUCUACUUGUGCUCUUUUGAUGGGAUACAUACCUUUCUUGCUCUUUUGAAACUUUUUGAGGAGAAUGAGAUGCUCUAUAUUUUUGUUUUUCUUUUCUCUCAGGUGGGUAUCUUGUACCCCUAAUUCUACUGUCGGACACUUGUCCAUUUUUACCUCUCGUCUCACUUUUUCUUUUCUUUCGAGGUUCCGGGCACUUGCCCCUUUUUAUUUCCUCGUAUCUUUUUUUCUUCUUUUUUUAGAGCACUCAUCUCUUGAAAUAAUGUAGCAAGUGGCAGUAACCAAGAUAACUUGAGCAUUUAUUUCACAGGGGAAAACAGAAAUGUUUUUGGCUAUUCUCUCCCGGAUUAGGAGUAGAAUAUUUUUAGGUGAUUCUGGAGAUGGAAAUGGAUGGAUAUAUGUGGAUGCGUACUUCCGGAGUAGAAGCAGCAUGUAUGAGUGAACGUGCAAGUGAAUCUUGAUUUUAACCACAUGACAAGCUCCUAAGGGUCUACACAGCUUGACCAUACUCAAUGCUCAUAAGCAGUAAAAAGUAAGUGUGUGGUUCAUAGUCUAGCAAGCAUGUAUAUAUGGCUGUGAUAGGAAUUUAAACUCUCAUCAUACAGGAACUCAUCAUGCAACAUUUUAAAGAUUUUCAAAGAUAAAAUUCUCCAGAAUUCUAGCAUCUCUAGGAAUAGAUAAACAGCAGCUCAACCUUCCCAUAUCGUAUCCGUUAACGACUUAGACUUUAGAUCAAGUAUUCUCCCCACAAGUUCAGGUUUAGAGCAAAUCUUAAUUCAUAACAGUCAAGCCUAAACUUGAGAGAGAUUUCAAUUCUGAGAACUAGUCAUGGCAGGGCAACUAUUCAUCAUUUCCAUGUGAGAGCUUAUCAUGAGGGUUCAUAGCAAACUUUAUUUAUUUAUUUAUUUAGCAAACUCAGCAGAGAUAUAUAUAUAAUCACAAAAUCUUUAUUUGGGUUUUUAUGAUUAUGCAUCUUUUUAUUAUUUGAGUAAAAUAUAAACAUGAGUAGAAUACUUAGCUGGAUAAAUGGGGGUGCUCUCCCCCAGCUGGAUUUUGACGUAAUUUCUUCUGAUGUAGCUAGCAGGUGGCGGAGGUGUAUUUGAAUGUCGGCAACACCCUGACAGCGAUUAGGAUUUCCUCCGUCUGCUAGUCUUCUUUGAUCCUUUAAUUCUAUGGAGCUCAAUUAGACAACAAAGCUUUGUGGAACUGGUUAAGUGUUAGCAUAAAUAUCUAGCCUUUAUCAUGUUGAGCCUCCUCGAUAAAUGUUACUCUCUUUAGUAGGAUCACAAUCUUAUUUUUAUAUUUUCAUUUUUAUAGGACAGGAAUAUAUUUAUUUUAUUUUUACGCCACCAUAGUGAAUGUACUUAUGGGUUUUAUGCCAUGACCAUACUCACAUGGGGCUUACUGUUUUUUAACAUUUUUAUUUUCUUUUGAAGAUGAUAUGAACCUGAUUAACUAAGCAAACUAUUUUAAAUAAUUGAAAGGAAAAGAGAUAACUACCAAGUUUACCUCUUGGCAAGGCGUUCGGUGUUUUUAAGUCCUCCGAAUGGGACUCUCCGUUUUCUCAGUCGUAUGGCGUAGUCGGUGGUUCCGGUGGAGCCUGCUCUUCAUGUAUAACUAUCUUUUUUCUCCACACCUGACUCGAUGCUACGGUCUCCCCAGGACAGUUCUGUUCAAGUUAUAUGUCUUCAGACCUUACAACUUCUCCAUCAUAGUCUACCCAUCCGUCCUUGAUGAUUUUGCCUUCUCUGGUUGCGGUUGCGCCGUCUCCUUCUUGUCCCGACCUGCUUAGAGUCUUCAACUAUAUAGUUAGGGUCAGUAAAAUAGUGGCGUACCUUCUCAGAGGUGAAGUGCAUGUGAACUUCUCGGGUUCCAAUGUAGAUGAUUGCUUUAACGGUGCUGAGGAACGGUCUCCUAAGGAUGAUGGAGGAUCAUACUUGUCUUCUCCCAUGUCAAUAACCUUAAAAUUAUCUGGAGCUGAAUGUAUGUUGGUUGUAGGGACAUGGUUCCAUGCAGGAGCUGAUAAGUGACUGCGGCCAUUAUGUUGACGUCAGAUCCGGUGUCGUAGAGUGUCUUCUGAAAGGAAUAUCCGUUGAUUGUGCACUCGAUGCUUGGAACACCAGGGUCGUCCUUCUUGAUCAAGAAAGGCGACUUGAGUUGACGAUCUUGACCUCCUUGAACAGCAGUGACCAUCUUAGCUGACUCGGUCCACAUUUGCUUGUUCCUGUUCCUCCUGUUGGUCCUCUUCCUUGGUUCAUGUCGGGAUUGCUCUGAGAUUUGUGUAGUCUUGUUCUUGAAGGAAAACAUCUCCUUCCUUCCCUUGAGGUAGAAACUGAUCUUGGCAGCACUAGCGUAGAUGACAGCUCCUGGUAUUUAGGAAUGGCCUCCCUUGGGUAUAAUGUUGACGCUGGAGCCAAAGUCGCAGAGUGCUUCUAGGAAAGUCCACCAUGCCUAUGGAGAUCGAGAUGACGGGGCGUCCUGGGUUGUCUCUCUUGACCGGCAGAAGGUUAGUAAUUACUUCCACAACGGGGUUACUCCAGUAGUUACGUCCUUAAGCGUCUCAGGGCAGUGAUUGCCUGAGUGUCCAUUAUCUCCAGUGUGUUUGAGCUCGUAAAUCUAGGUUCUUCACUUGGUGGAGUCUAGAAGUUGUAAAAGUCCUUCAUAGUUUGCUCGAAGUGUACCUGCUCAUAGAGACAAGGCAGAGAUCAAGUGCAUGGUCCCUGUUGGUGGAAAACACCAAC